CUUAGACAUAUUCAAUUGUGGUUCAGGGUAAAAAAGCUACAGCUUUUCCUGCUAUGUGCAACAAGCUGUCAGAUCAGAGUGAAAUCGAAAACAGGGUUGUGGUUGAUGGCAACCUCAUCACCAGUAGAGGGCCAGGAACUUCUAUGGAGUUUGCACUGGCAAUUGUGGAGAAGUUUUUGGGCCGCAACAAGGCACUUGAGCUUGCAAAGAUAAUGCUUUUCACUCGCGCCUAACGUUUGUAUGGGGACCUGUCUACUAUUAAACUAGUGUGUUUAUUUCUGUAUUGCUACUGCUUGUAGAGAGGGGAAAUGGAAACUUGAAUUCAUGUUUGAAUAUGGAUUCACUGUGUGGGUUUGUACAGCAGUUUGGUUUAUAAAUAAAUGAGUUCAUGGAGUCACUUCAAAUAUUCGGAAUAAACCUGAGUUUAGAUCUGUUAUCAAUGGUCGGAGUCCAAUUGCGAUCGACUCACUGGGAAUUUUAAUUAUGAAUCAUGUUAUAUUCCACCUUUCUCAUAAAAUGUUAACUCGAUUUACAGGAUAAGAAGGAAAAGAAAGACGCUAAGAGAGGAGCAGACACCCAAAAAGAGUUGACCACUUUGUUGGAACAUAAAUCUCUAGAAUAUUGAAAUAAAACACAUACCAUAUCUAGUAUCAAGUAUGUAUGUGCAAGAAGAUACAAAUUUGAAGAUCAGAUUUCUCAUUUCAAUUUAUGUUCUGCUUAGAGCAAUGGCUCUUAUUCCACAAGCACAAGCAGGAAAGAGUACGCACGAAGUUAAGAAACACACAUUGCAAAAGUUGCAUUAACUACUUGCGGCAACAUCAUCCAAGAACUUGACUUUAAUCUUCUUGAGCUUCGCUGCAGCAUCUGUCAUAUGCAUUCUCUUGUCAGGUGACUCCAUACAACAAUCCAAUGCCAAAUCCAUGAUGCUUAAUAAACAAUCCAUUUUGGCAGAAAAAGCUUGCUCUUCUCGCACCAAAUUUGCGUCAACAACUUCACUCAAUCUGUGAGGUAAUGACUCCUUCACCCAUCUCCUUAAACUCAUUUCUUCUGUGAACAUUUGAUCGGUGGGCCUCUUUCUCGUGAAAGUUUCCAUCAAUAACACACCAUAGCUGUAGACAUCACAUUUGGCUGAAACAAUUCCUUCUAAUCCAUACUCUGCAUUUUUUAAUUUUAAUUAUGAAACAAAUGAUAAAACAAAUAAUUUUUUUGAUAAUUAAGGUAACCCAAACUUUGCUCGUGCUUGAAAAAAGAGCAAAAAUUUUAAUUACAAUUGAAACUUUACCUGGUGCCAUAUAACCAAUUGUAGCCAUUGUCAUGGUUUGUGUCACACAAUCUUCUCCUUCACCUAAGAGUUUGGAAAUGCCGAAGUCGCACACAUGUGCCAUCAUAUUUUCAUCCAAGAGAAUGUUGGUGGGCUUCAAAUCACAAUGAAUUAUAGGUGCCGACGAAUGACCAUGAUGGAGAUAUUCAAGAGCCGACCCCACAUCUAUCAUUAUAUUCAACCUCUCUAGAAUGUCUAAGAAAUAAUUGUAAGAAUACAACCACUUCUCGAGACUACCAUUUGGCAUGAACUCAAGUACCAAUGCUUUGAAAUCUGGAUUAGAACAACUGCUAAGGAUCUUUAUGAGAUUUCGAUGACGAACAUUCCGUAAAACUUCACAUUCAGAAUCAAAACUCCUAAAUGCUCUCUCUAGUUGCAGAUUGAAAAUCUUUAUUGCAACAUUAGUCCCGUCGGAAAUGGUUCCUUUAUAAACUGAUCCAAAACUACCUGUACCCAGCAAGUUACAUUCAUUAAAUUCAUCAGUUGCUCGUUGAAUGUCAAGGUAGGAUGUUCUUCUCCAUGUUGCAAGAGGUAGGAAAUCUUCGUGAUCUGAUUUUUUUGUACUCCUCUUUCGGCAUCUUAUGUACAUAAUGAUGAUAAUCACUAUAAGUACAGAGGAUACUAUCGGAGGCAAAAUAUAUUUAAGGACAAUUAGAGCAACGUUCUUGGUGCUUUUGCUGUCACCUUGUUUGCAAGGUGGGACUCGGAGUUUAGGUGGACCACAGAGUGCAUAAUUUCCGAAAAAUGAUUCAGUUGACAAGUUUUUAAAAGACCCCUUAACAGGAAUUUCCCCUUCUAGCCUAUUAUGAGACACAUUAAAUUGUUUGAGAUGUGACAAUAUCUCCAAUGACUUAGGAAUUUUUCCAGAGAGAUUGUUGCCGGAGAGAUCUAAGGAUUCUAAGCUUAUCAAACUGCCAACUGAUUCAGGAAUAGGUCCCUGAAAUUGAUUACGAGCCAAGGAUAGAGUUUCUAGAUCUAUGAGGGCACCAAUGGUUGAUGGAAUAUCACCUAAUAAUUGAUUCCUUGAUAAAUCUAAAACUGUCAAGACCUUUAACUUUUGUACAUUGGAAGGGAGAGGACCAUUUAAUGAAUUAGACGACAAGUUUAUCUCUAAGAUGUACUCAAGGCUCCACAAGGAUGACGGUAUACUAGAAGUGAGCUUGUUGGAGCCUAAGCGGAGUUCUCUUAGAGAUGUCAAACUCGCCAAGCAUGGCGGUAUAUGUCCAGAGAGCUUAUUUCCAUUUAACCUUAUUCCGUAUAUCAACUCCAAGUGGCAAAGAUCAUAGGGAAUGGAUCCUUCCAAAUUAUUUUCUUCAAGAGAUAAACCUUGUAGCCGCUUAAGUCUUCCCAUCGUUGGUGAAAUAGUUCCAUUCAAGUCAUUGAAGCCGAGGCUUAAGAGGAUCAGGCCACGCAACUUACCAAUUUCUUUAGGAAUGCUGCCCCCGAGUUUGCAGUUGGAUGCAUAAAAUUGUCGAAGAGAAGCAGAGAAAUUUCCAAUCACUGGUGGAAGGAUGCCACCCAAUGGAUUAUAAGCUAAGGCUAAAAAUGUUAAAUUUCUGCAAUUAGUCAGAGAAGAGAGAAAACUCCACUGAUCUGCUGAAGAUGAUUCUGUCGUCAAGUUAUUAAAUGCUAAGCUGAGCACGUCGAGGUGUCUCAAGUUGCCAAAUGUAUUUGGAAUAUGGCCCGAGAAUGAGUUGAAGCCCAAGUCUAGGGCAACGAGUUUAGUAGCAUUGGUGAUAGAGUGGGGAAUUAUCCCUAUAAGAUUAUUGGCCGACAAGGCUAAAUACUCUAUGUUCGGAAGCGAGUGGCCAAUCGUUGACGGUAAGCGGCCUGAGAGUUGAUUGCCCCCCAGAGUAAGGAUUCUCAUGGUUGAAAUGUUGAAGAUCGUGGGUGGAAUGAGGCCACUUAAAUUGUUGUCAGCAAAAACAAGAACCUCCAAAUUUUCCAGAUUGCCAAUCUCGGUUGGAAUUUGACCUGCCAUCAGGCCAACAUUGAGGAGUCAUUGAGCUUUUAGCUUAAGGUAAAUUGAGUUUGACAAUGUUACCCUUGAAAAUGUAAAAGGAUCAAAUUAAUUUUAUUACACAAUAAUUUCAGCCAAUAAUGUUCUUUACACAAUAAUUCUGCAAAAUAUGCAUGCAAAUGGAAAAAUAUGCUUCAAUUACAAGAGGUGGUGGAGCGUACCUCGAAGAUUGCUGAAGCUAAGAUCCAGAUACACGAGUUUACUCAAAUUUCCAAUCCUUGAAGGAAUAUUUCCACCAAUAGUAUUGAACUCUGCACGCAGCGUCUCUAGCCUUGAUAAGUUGAAGAGAGAAUUAGGGAUGGGACCUGUGAAACUGUUAUUAUAAAGUCUCAAUAUUCGGAGUUUAGAUAAGACACCAAUCCAUGAUGGAAAGCUUCCGCUCAAUUUAUUGUAAGCGAAACUCACGACUCUGAGUCGACGUAAUUGCCCCAAUUCUUUCGGCAGAUGGCCAUGAAAAUUGUUCUCACUAAUGUCAAGAGACACUAGAAAUGAGAGAUUUCCCAAGUGUAGUGGAAUGGUGCCUCCGAGACCCAUAUCUGAAAGAUUCAAGGCAGUGACUCGUUGAUGGCGUGAACCACAAGAGAUACCAACCCAGCUACAUAUUGGAUAAGAUAUAGACCAAUUAUUUGCCAGGGCACUCCGAUAAUCAAGAAUGUGGGCUUUGAAUGCCAGAAGAGCUGAUUGAUCUGUUGUUAAAUCGUUUAAAGUCGUCACAGCUAAGCUAGCAAUGAGAUACUGUAACACUAACACCGACAUAGGAACAAAGAAGAAUGAUAAGCGCAUAUUGGUCGUUUUUAGUAGUAGUUGCAAGGCGAGAUUGAUACAAGUUUUAAGUAAAGGAAAUUAGCAUAUACUUAUAAUGAGACAUAUGAAUUUGAAAAUAAGAGCAGAAAAAAUAUACAGGAGACUUGCAAAUUGUUAUAUUCUGUCAUUGAGCGAGCCGUCCAAGUAAACGCAUUUACACUUGAACCCUAAAUAAAGGCCUUAUGGCACUUUAAUUGCCAUAAGGAAGAAGAUGCUCAACAUUGCCAAAAGUGUUUUUCUUGAAGUCUCGUCUUCCGUAAUGUUUGUAAAAUCGAGGUUUUACCAUCUCUAAUUAAAUAUUUACUCUUGAUUUAGACCACGUAAUCUAAACUUGACGAAAAAUUAUGAUCUUAUGUGAUUUUAUGAAUGUGGUCUUAUCUCUUAUAAGUCGGCAAUGAAUUAAUUAAAGCUUGCUGACAAAUUACAAGCUCAAAAAUAUCUUUUACUUAUUCACAAUCUUAUUUCAUUUUUUUAUAACAUAAUAUUAAAAAUUUGUCUAUUAAAUUAAUUUAAUAAUUUUUUUAAUAAAAAAUCUCAUUGACGACCAAACAACUAAUUUUUUUUUUAUAAAAGCUUUGCUUGUUAAAAUUAUGCUGAAAAAAACUCUACUUAAGUAAGUUCUAUUUUUUUUAUAAAAGCCAUUUUAUUUCUUUAUCUUUUUUAAUUAUUAUUGGAAAAGUAGCGCAGCUUAUCAAAAAAGGAAAGAAAAAAAAAAGUCAAAGUGACGAGUGGCUUGUUUUUUAAUUUCAAAGUCAAUGCAAAGUAAAAGUACCGAAAUAAUCAGUUUUUAAAUCCAAAUAAGUGGCAAUAAAGGGAGGUCUUGUUAGGGGUGUUCGCGGAUCGAAUUUUAUGGAUUGGACAUCAAUCCAUAUUCGAUCCACGAUUUUACGGAUUAUAAAAUUUCAAUCCAAUUCAAUCCACGGAUUUGUAAAAUUCAAUCCAAAUCCAAUCCAUAAAUCUGCGGAUCAGAUGCAAAUUUGACCUAAUCCAUAUCCAAUCUACAAUUUUGCGGAUUGGUUUGUGGACUGAAAAUUUUUAAUUCUGUCAAAUCCACGAACUAACUAAAUAAAAAAAUUUAAUAUAAAAAUAAUUUUACUACGGAUCAAAUUUAAAAUUAAAUAAGAUUUAAAUAAAUAAAUUGCUUAAAUAAAGCUAGCAAAUACAUUUAAAGUUUCAAAAUAUAACACACCAAAAUGAAAAAAAUAUCAUUCGUUUUAGAUCAAGGAAAUUAACUAUUUAGUAAACUAUAUUUGUUUAUUUAAUUAUUUUUUAUUUUUUAUUAUUAUCGGAUAUGAUAUAAUAUAAUGUUAAUGUAACUAUAUUUUAACUUAUUUAUUUACUAGUAAGUACUAAUAACAUAUUUACAAGUUUUAUUUUUAAUUAAAUAAAUACUUUUUAUUUUUUUGCGGAUUCGCGGAUUUUUACCGAUUUACAGAAGUAGAUCCAUAUCCAAUCCACUGAUUGCGGAUUAUCAAAUUUUCAAUUCAAUCCAAUCCACCAAUCCACGGAUCAGACGGAUUGAGCAGAUCGAAUUAGAUUAUGAACACCCUUAGGUUUUGGUGUGCAUUGUUGAAAACUUGGAAGUCUAUAUGACCAUUUAACCAAACUAUAGGGGUAUAACUGUCACAAAUUUUUAAAAAUAAAUUUUACCAAACAUUUAAAUGAUUUUUUUUUCACAAUUGAUUAUUAAAUUCUAAGUGUUAGACUAUUGUAAGAAUACAAAUAAUUGACAUGGACAUAAUAUUAAAUAAAAUUUACUUAUAUAUAUAUAUAUAUAUAUAUAUAUAUAUAUAUAUAUAUAUUAUUGUUUGUAUAUAAAAAUUGCUAACUAAAAAAUAUUUAUAUUUUAUCAAUUUUAUUUCUUUUAUUUUUUUAUCUCAAGAUAAAUAUAAUAAUAACAAUCUCUCUAAAUUUAAUUAUUUUUGCUCUUUAUUGAAUAAGGAUAAUUUUGAGUUUCUGUAAUAUAUGUGAGGAUAUAUAUAAAAUUGUAUUAAAUAUAUAACUAUUCUCAAAAUUAAAUUUUAAAAAACUAGUUCAUUCUCACUUUUCAUUUAAUUAGGCAAAUGGCCACAGAAAUUGUUCUCCCUCAUAUCCAAAUAAACUGAAAACGAGAGAUUUCGUAAGUGUGGAGGGAUGAUGCCUUCGAAACCCAUCACUGAAAGAUUCAAGUUUGUGACUCUAUGGUAUGAGCACCACAACAUAUGCCAAUUCGACUGCAUAUUGAGUAAGACAUGGACCAAUUAUUCAAGAGAUUCAUGAGCCUUCGAAGUGAGAAAUAAAGCAAAUUAUGUGGUGGUCGUGGGUCAAUUGACUACGUUUCGUGAUCUACGUGCGAUUGCAACAGUCGGUUCAUUAAGUGAAAUUAAUGACUCGUCCACUAUAGUAAGAUACUGUCCUCAUUAGGUUGGUGCUGGGUCAAUUUUAUCCAUGAGUCAACUUACAUUAAUUUGAAUUAAUUUAUAAGAGUAUCUCAUUUUCGUUGAUUACGAGUUGUGAUCGAUGACAUGCACGAAAGCAGUCAAUUUACAGGUCAUUCACUAUAUAUAUGGGGUCUAUGGGUGGAUGGAUCUAACGUAAAUUAAGGGUUGAUGAUGACCCUCGACUUCUAACGACGACCAUCGAAGACGACCUUGACUUUACAUGCAAACACACAAUUCGCUCUCAUACAUUAUGUUUUAAAAUUUCUCCAUUUUCCGGGGCCCCGCUGUCGACCGUACACAGUUUAAUUUGUAUAUACAAGACCUCAUUGUUUCUAGCAAGCAUAGAGCCAUAGACCAUAUUAAUUCCAAUUACAUAAAUCUUCAUUUUUAUCAUGAUUUUGGAUCUCGAGCAGUGUGGAUAUAUCCAACCAGAUCCGCCUCACUGGCAUCCCAAUAUAUUUUAGAAUUGAGUAAUGAGUAUCAAUAAAUGUGUAAUUGUAAAUCUACAACGUUUAAUUUUAAUUUGAGGACUCAAAUGAAUUUAUCCAACAAUACCUCGUUAAAUUAAUAUUCCAUAAAUUUUUAACUUUAAUUAAAUAACAAAUUUUGUCCGUCCCAACUUAGGAUUAACGUGGUAAUUAAUAAUUUGAUAAAUUGUUAGAUAAUAAUUUUUUAAAAAAAUCUUAUUUUUUUAUUGGAUCAAACUGAUAUAUAAAUGAAUAAUUAAUUAAUUUUAAAACUAAAUUCAUGUUAUGUCAAUCAAAUGUUAUUGCAAAGAAGACUAGCAGCGACGCUUUGAAAGGUACACCAAAGCCUUUUGCACCUUCUCCUCCGUGACCACCAAUAGAUACUUCCACCAUUUCAACGUCAUGACAUGAUGUAAGUUUCUUUUGUAGAAUUUGCGAAUUGGUAAUCUUUUACACGCGUAUAUUUAUAUCAUUGUAUAGUUAUAGAUUCAAUUACUUUUAUGAUGCAUUUAUUAAUUUGGAAUUGAAGUAGACAAGAAUGGGCUGUAAUGUGAAUGGAGAAUCGAAAUUAGAAUAAGUUAUUUACUUGAACUGUAGAAAUCGAAAUGAGUUGGAUUGUCAUUAAUGUGUUUACUUUGUCUUGGAAUCAGAAUUGAAAUAAGUUAGUUUAUAACAAAUUACUAAAAACUACUUAAUGAACUAUUGUUAUAAUUAUUAUUUUGUAUUUUAAUUAUUAUGAUUAUUUAUUAAAAAUUAUUAUUGUUAUUAUUACUUAUUGUUAAUAGUAUAUUAAUAUAUUAAUAAAUUAUAAUAAUAUAUUAAAUAACUAUAAUAUAUUAAAAAAUAUACUUGUAUUUACAAGAAAUGACUGAUAAAAUUUCUAAAAUCGUCUUCCUCCCUAAAACUCUUAAUGCCACAGCCCUAAAAAUUAAAAAGAUUUGGGAAUUAUAUGUCUUUUUUAAAAUAUUAAAGGGUGUUUAUUUCCUUAAACGGUGGGGACUAAAAGUCCUAUUCCCAAACGAGUAGUGUGCCGGCGUUGGAGGCUAGAAAGACAAUUUGUUACAUUGCUUCAGAAGUGCUUAAUGGAAAUUUUGGUGAGGCAUCACAUAAUUUAAAGGAUCAGGCUACGGUGCAACUGUGGUACCGUACUACAGUUGCAUCCAGCCGUUUUAAUUCACUUAUAUUGGUGAGGUUCACUGGCAUCCAACGGCUGAAUGCAACUAUGGCACGGUACCACAGUUGCACCACAAGUUUCCCCUAAUUUAAAUUACUGGAAUUUGCAUCAAUGGUUUUUAUUGGUUUAUUUACUCGUCAACAAAUUACUGUAACUGCAGAAAACAGUGUAACACAUUGUAUAAUACGUUAAUACGUUAUAUUGGUCAGUGCUCCUACCAAGGAAAUCUUUUUAAGUUUUGUUAGCAGAAUAUUCUUGUAAGGGUGGAGGCAUAAGAGAUUAAUAAUUUAAUAUCUCUUGUUCAUUAGAAGAUUUUUUUUUUUUGGGAAAAAAAAAGAAGAAGAUGGUUUGUUUAAUGUUGAUAAAUUUUGAAGUACAAUUUUAUAGAUGUCGAAUGUGGGCAAAAAGUAAAGAAGCUCAAACACUUUUCUACAUCUAAACUAAUCAUUAGGAUUUAUAUUAACUAAUAAACCCUAAUAAUACGAGCGUUCAUAAAAACUUCAUAUGAACAUUGAACCAGCAUGGCAUCAUAUUGUAAUAAGUUGUACAGCUGUCAAUCUCUUAUUAGUCAGAUAUAUUCUGAGUUAGUUACAUGAAUGUAGUAUAAAUAUCAUACUCUGUACACAUUCUUAGUUAGUUACUUCAGUAGAAUUUUCUCUCCUCUACUCAAUUUUUAAGUUAUCUUUUAUAUUGGGGGCAAAUGAUAUUUUAUUAACGAAAUGAUUUUGCCCUCUUAAUAAGCUCUCAUUUCUCCGCUUUGAUCAACACAGCCUUCUUUUAUUACAUCAAAAUUCUUCCUCUUUCCAUCAAAAUUUCAUGGAUCUGCCCUUACGUAAAAUCAUAUGAGAGUAUAUAAUAAAAUUAAUUAGGUAUGUUUGGAACAUUUUUGGUAUCCUUAAGCUGAUUUUAUUUUUAUUUUUUUAUAGUAUAUAUUGUCAAAAGUAAAUGCUAUAAACACUUUCGGAAAAAAAGAUGAAGAGCACCUUUGGAGUAAUUUUUUCUAUAGGAACUAACAAAACAACUAAAUGAUGUAUGUAUCUCUAAGAUUUAUUAUUAUUAAUUUUUUUUUCUGUAGUUGACAAAGCAUCAUGAUUGUGUUGGAUGAUAAGAUUAAAGGUGGGAAUGGUCCGAAUGGACCAAUUUUUUAGGAUAAAAAAAAAAAUGAUUCAAUCCUGGGCAUGUUUGGCUAUCGAAACUAGUUGAUUAGUCUAAAGUUUAAUUCAAAAGUAAUGGGACUAUUAAUCCUUAGGAAAAUUAUCAUUUGUAUACUCUAUAGAUGCUCUGUUAUAUAAAAAAUUACAACACUUUGAGAGUGUAUCAAUCGUCCACCCUAAGUUGACAAAAUAUAUCUGCCGUCCAUCAAACCGUUACUUGCUGUUUAAAUAGGAUAGCGCCAGAGGGGUAAUUUGGUCUUUUCAUAUGAUACAAGUGAUAAUUCAAGGGUAUACAAGUGAUAAUAAAAGAAUUUAAAGGUAUACAAGUGAUACUUUUCAAGGGUAAAAUCAUCAAUUCGCUAUAAUUCCGUUAACUUUCAAACGACAGCUAACGGUUUAGUGGUCGGCAGAUAACUUUUUUCAAUUUAGGGUGGACGAUUGAUACACCCUCAAAGUGUUAUAGUAUUUUUUAUAAUAGAACAUCUAUAGGGUAUACGAAUGAUAAUAUCCCUAAUCAAUCCUUAAUUCAACUUAGGUUUAAGUAGUAUAUAAAAAAUCUUCUUUAUCACUCUUUUCAUUUUUAUUUAGAUUAAAAUUCAUAUAAAUAAAUAUAAAGAAUUAAUUUCAUAAUUUAUUUAAACUAAAAUUUUAUAUUAUAUUAAAUAUCCAAAUUUUAAUUCAAUAAUUUAUUUAUAUUAGAAUUUUAUGCAAUAUUAAAUCCCAAAACUUUAUUUAAUAAUUUAUUUACAAAAAUAUUAAUAUCAAAUUCAACAAUUAGUAAUAUAAUUUAAAAUAAUUACACUAUUUUAAUAGUUAUUUAGCUAUAUUAAAUUAAAUUUAACAUAUCCUUGUCCGAUACUAUACUAAACAAACGAUAGUACCUUAUAUAGUAUAGUCAAUCUAUUAUAAUAUAAUUCAAUCUAAUCGAACGUGCCAAAUCAGUACAUUUUAAAAAAUAAUUUUAUAACAGCUUUAAAAAAGCAUUUUUUAAGUUACUUUUACAAAAUGUGCUUUCUCCGAAAGCACUCGUGAAAUGCAAAUUCUCACAAAACACGUGGUGUGUUCAAUUGGGCCUCCGCCCAUUAAAACUACAACCAUGAAAGCAAGCAAUGUUCAUUGGGCUUUAUUCUCUCGAGAAAACUUAUACACGUAGCCCACCACCGGCGCCCUAAUUUGUCUCCACCUCUCUAAAUAGAGUUGGACUAUUGGCACCUUUCCAAAAUUCUUCUGAAAUUCCUUUUUCAAUAAUAUUAAGUUUAAUGCUAAAAAUAUCCUUAUUUCCAAAUAAAUACAUUUAAUUUGUGAAUAUUUUAAUUUUCUAUUAUUUUCUCGCUCCUCACAAACAAAUUUUUAUGGGCGAUAAACUUCUUGAUAAAAAUCAAUUAAUUAAAUAAAAUAUCUAUAAGAUUAUAAUGUAAAAAAUUUUAUUAUGAGUCUUAAAAAAAGACAGAUAAAUUUAUCAGAAUGUGUUUUGUUUAUUAUCAAUAGAUUAUUUUAGUAAUUAAAGAAAAAUUUAUAGAGAAUUUGAGAAAAAAAAUUACGUGUGAGUUUGAUAGCAAAGAAAAUAUAAGAGUUUUUUUUUAAGAGAGAAAAUACAAAAGUUUGAAGUGAGAUAAAAUAGAUAUAAGAUAUAUUAGAGUAUUUAUCCUUAAAUUUAAUUGUAACAAAAGAGAGGUUUUAAAAAGAUUUUGGAGGAGUGUCUCCAACUCCUCUAAAUAUUAUUGAUUGAUGCAUAUGUUUCACAGCAUAGAGUGGCUUACAUUGGAGCUUUUCUAAAAAAAUGAAAAUUUCAUUUAAUUAUUUAUUAUUCACGGAUAAGAAAUUAACUUCUUCUUUUUUCUAACGCCACAGUCUGGUGAGCUUGCCUAGUGUGUUUUAGUUGGAUAAAAAUUUUAGCAAAUGCUUCUUGGCAAGGAAGCUUAAAUAGUUUAACCUGAAUUUAACCUCGAAUGAACCCAAAUUAUUAAACCGAACCAAUCCGAAUUGUGAAUCUGAAUUUCAGUUCGAUUCAGUUUGGUUCAGGUUCGUAUUUUCAACUCGAACAAGUUUAAUGCUCCAAUUCGAUCAGGUUGUAACCUAAACCGAAACUCGAAAACCCGAACUGAAACUCAAUUUGGCCACCCCUAAUGAGAACUGAGAAGUACCUGGAUCGUAAAAGAAAGGUUUUGAUGAUAAUUUUGGCUAAAAAUCUGUUUCUUAACUUCUAUUUUUAUUUUUUUAUGCUGUAUUUUAGUUGCUGAAUAGGUUAUAUAUAGAAGUUCAGUUAAUUUUGUUUUGGAUGAAAAAUCAAUGAGUACUUCUGUGAUUAAUAAGUGAAAUUUUGUUUGCAUCAUAUAGUCAGCUAUAAUGCAUUGGAUGGCUUUGACUCAGCAUGGAAGAAAUGCUCUCCGGCAGAUUACUAAAGAGAGCUCUGAUCGCGUGUUGCAUCACCCAUUGCUAUUUUCUUGUCAAGGAGUCAGAUACAGACGAUUGGAAGUGAUUCUAACAACAAUGAGUAAAUUGAUCUUUUGUUUUCCCUUUUCACCAGUUUGGAUCUCUUGACUAAUCAGCCUGUUUGAGUUUUAACUUGUGUAUUAAUGAUUGGUUUUAUAUGUUCAGAAAGUUGACAAGCUUGGUAAAGCCGGUGAAACUGUGAAGGUUGCUCCGGGGUAUUUCCGGAACCACUUGAUGCCCAAAUUGCUUGUUGUUCCAAAUAUCGAGAAGUUGGCUCAUCUCAUUAGAGAGCAGCGCAGGUAUUUGUUUUUCAUGAUUCUUCUCGGUUGAACUUUUUUUGUUUGGGUUGAGAAUGGUUAAUUCUAGUGAUACAGAAAUUUGCUCAUUUUCUUUAGAUACUUUGUUUAGCCAGUUUGUCAAUUAAUUUGACUCAUGGCUUCAAAUUAUUGCUAAAUUCUCAGUUUGGAAAUAUUUGUGAUUUUUGAAGGGGCAUUACAAGUUAUUAAAGUUUGUUGUGCCUGUGACUUAUUUUCAUCAGAUUUGCCAGCCUGAGGAAGAGGAAGAGGAAGAGGAAGAGGAAGAGGUUAGAGUUAUCCGGAAGUCUGAGGACAAUAUGAGUAGAGAAUUUGAGAAGGCAGCUAGGCGCCUAGAGAAUGCUCGACUGGUUUGUGGCCUAUCUUUUAAUUUCUUCAGAUUCGGGACAAAUUGUCUUGGAGUGAACUGAUGUGUUGCCUUUUCCUUUUUUUUUAGCUUGAAUGAUCUAUUUGCUACAGUUAGGAGUGAACGUCGUAAUGAAUUUUAAAUUAUACUGUUUGUUUCGAUUUACUUUUCUAUCUUAGCUCCAUCAAGUGAUUAGUGGAAUGCUGGUCCUGUGAGUAUAAAAUGAAACUCCUUAAGUUAAAUUCCUUAGGCUGUGUUUAUUUUCUGUAGUGGGAGCGAGGAGUGUAAAUUCUUUUCAUUUCAGUAUUUAUUUCAACAAAUUGGCUCCGGAUUGAGAAUCCCACUCAGUAGACCCCACCCAUUUUUGGAGUGAGAUUCCCAUGGGGAGAGGUGGGAGUGAGAUUCCCACUCCCACCUCUCCCUUUUUUUACAUUUUUUUUAAUUUAAUUUAAUUUAACUUAAUUUAAUAUUUAAUAAAAUAAAAUAAAUAAUAUCAUAUUUAUUUGAAUAAUAUUAUUAUAUUUAUUUUAAAAAUAAUAAUACUAUAUUUAUUUAAUAUUAAUAAUUAAUAAUAAUAAAUAGUUUAUUCUAAGAAAAUAUUAAUUUUGUCCUAAAUAAUAUUAUAUUAUUAUUUUAUAUAAUAAUAAAUUUAAUAUAAUUAUAUUAAAUAAAAUAAAAUAAUGUUUCAUUUUAUAUUUACCCUUCUUUUUUACCCUCUUUUUAUUAAAUUUACUAUAAUUAUAUUUAAUAAAUAUUUAAAUAAUAUUAUAUUUAUUUAAAUAAUAUUAAUAUAUUUAACUAAAUAAUAAUUUGGUUUGAUUCUAAGUCUAAAUUACUUAAAAAUAAUAUUAUUAUAUUAAUACAGAAUUAAUAAUAUUACUUUUAUACCAUCUUUAUUUGAAAAUAUAUUAUUAUUAUUAUUAUAUUUAUUUAAAAAUAUUAGUAUUAUAUUUAUUUAAUAUUAAUAAUUAAUACUAAUAAAUAGUUUAUUCUAAGAAAAUAUUAAUUUCAUACUAUGUUAAUAGUAAAAUAUUUCAUUUAUAUUGCCCUUAUCAAUAAUUUUUAAUUUAUAUAAUUAAAAUUAAAAUUAAUAAAAAAAUGUGAUGUUCAUAAUUAAGAAUAUUAAUAAUUAUUAUAAAUUUACAAAUAUAAAUGUUUAUUCAUUAAAUAUAUUUUUUAUUAACUUUGUAAUUAAAAACUAUAAUUCUUUAAAUAAGGAUAAAAUUGUAAUUUGAAACUAUUUACUCCCAAUCCGAGACAAACUAAACACAUAAAUUGAAUUCUGAUCUCCAUUCCAUGCUUUCAUUUUAGUGUAAGUAAACAACAUACUCCCACUCCCAAUCCUAAGAUUCCCACUCCAAUUCAAAAAGUAAACGCUACCUAAAUACAAGUAAUCUUGCUUUCAGAUAUGAAUUAUCUGAUGGAUGUUGUAUUUUCAAGGUAUUGAGGAGAUUCCCCAAUAUUGAAAAAUUGCGUUCCCGUGCAUCAAAAGAUGAUCCCAUAGAAUUGCGUUCACCUGUGACAAAAGAGGAGCUUGUAGUUGAGGUAUGGAUUUUUAUAUUUCUUGGUUGUUUUUAUACUUGUUUCUCAUCAUAAUAGCAAAAGCAGUUUGUUCUGAGUGAUCUGUGUGGUCUCCUAUCAAUGACUGCCGUUUCUAUCAUUUAGUACUAUUGACUAUGUGUGUAUAAAUAUUUUGUUUUUACCAUGUAAUUUCAUAUUCGAUGCAUUUCUAAUACAUUGCAUAGCGUCCAUGAAUGGGAAUGAUAAAAUAAAUUUCAAGCGUGUUUCAAUAGAUGAAAAAACUUGGAACGAUUUAGAAGGAUUUGCUGAUUAAAUAAUUUUCCAAUUUGUUUGCUUGGAGGAAUUGAAUAGUUAACUGAUUAAAGGAUUUCAAGGUGGUUCGGUCCCGCUGGGCAUUGUCAAUAUCAACGGUCAUUAAUUCCUAUUAUCUGAAAUUGAAUUUCCAGUGUGGCAUGGUAACUUUCUGCUAGGGUGUGAUUGUAUAGUAGCCAAUUGUGAGCAACAGAUCCGCAUAGUAAUAUAGAUUGAAAUUUUGCAUCUUAAUCCAUGAAGAUAUAGAUUUUGGCAAUAUUAUACAAGCACUGGGGAUUACCUUAAAUAUUCUGGACUUGUCAUUGAUAGAGUUUCUUUUACCUAGUUAUUGAUAUUUCUUUCAAUUUUCUAUUUUACUCAUACAAUUUAUACAAUUUUAGGUGGCAAGACAACUUUCGUUUUCUAUUGAGCCUGAAAACCUGCAUCUACCAUCACCUCUAUCUGCUUUUCGAGAAUAUGAGGUUCCUAUGCGCUUACCCAAAGCCAUCCCCCUACCGGAAGGAAAGGUCCAAUGGAUUCUCAAUGUUAAAGUCCGCGGCAAAUAAAUAUUUUUUAGUUAAUUUUUUAAUCAAUAAAAAAAGGUAAUUAAAAAUGUAAUUAAUAAAUUACUUAUUAGCAAAUUAAAAAACAAAUAUUAGCAUAAAAUAAUUGAUAUUUCAUUCUCUUACAACAAUCUUACCAAUUAUUAUUUAUAAAUUAAUUAAUGCAAGUUAAUUUAAAGUAAUGUUUAAUAUUCUUGUAACAACCUUACUAAUAAUUUUUUGAUAAAAAAAUUAAUUUAUUAAAUUAAUCCUAGAAGUAAAAUAAUAAUAAUUAAUUUGUAUUUUAUUUUUAAGAUUAAUUUGAUAAAUUUAAUUUUUUUUAACUAAUAUCUCCAAGAAUAUAGUUGUAACGAUAUUAUUACAAAAGGAAAAAAAAUAUAAGAUUAUAAUAUAUUUACCAGUAAGAAUAAUUUAAAAUAUUUUUUAAGAUAUAAAAAUUAAACGGACACUUAAUUAAAAAAAAAAAAAAAAAACUAAAUAAGUAGUUAGCUUUUAACAUUUCAACCUAGUGGUCAUACAAUCAUGGUGCGGCCCGGGAUGGCUGGCCCAGCCCAUCAUGUAAAAAUCCAUGUCACCCUCAUUCUUAAGCUGCUACUCUGCCACUUGCCACGGAGCUCCCCACAUCAUACCGUACCGAUGCCUCUAGAAAGCUAACUUUAAAAAAAUGGUAUUAAUAAGCGUACGCCACGUCACUCCUCACUCUCUUCUUCGUCACUUUCCUCUCACUCAACAUUUUCUCCCCAAACAAAUUCCUUCUUUGAAAAAUCGCAUUUUCUCCUUCACAGCAACCGCUACAAUGUCUUCAACUUCCAAGAAGGUAAUUUUUUUAAAUUUUAUUUUUUGUUUAGUUUCUUUCUGUUGCCUUUUUGUUUCGUUUUUUGAAUUUUCUGUGUCGUUUUUUUUUUCCCAAGGUUUUGGUGCCUGUUGCGAACGGGAGUGAGCCGAUUGAAGCCGUGAUAACGAUCGAUGUUUUGAGAAGGUCUGGAGCUGACGUCACGGUUGCGUCUGUGGAUAAACAGCUUCGUGUCGACGCGUGUCAUGGUGUCAAGAUUGUCGCUGAUGCUCUCGUGUCUGACUGCCGCGACGCUGUUUCUGAUCUUAUAGCUCUGCCCGUAUGUAUUGCAGCUCACCUCAGCUCAUGCUAAUUUAUGUGAUGUUUGUAUAAUUAUAGAUGAUUACUGCUGAUACUGAAUGUUAAAGCUAAAUAAUUCGUUCUUAAGUCAUCUUCAUUUAAUUUUCGAUUGAAAAUGAAAAAAAAAAUAAUUUUAAGCAAAGAAAAUGUUUAUUUUGUUUUAUUUUUAUUUUUAAAUUUUUGGGAUUUCCUUAUUGUGACUGUUGUCAUUCAUUAUAUGGUCCUAGUUAAAUGUUUCAAGUUGUUGUAGUCUGUGAAACUCUUUUCGAUAUUUGUUCUGGCAUGUACAUUUUUCCUUUCAAUUUAUUUUGUUGCUGAUACUUUGAUUAUGAUAUAUCCUUUUUUGUUUCCCUUGUAGGGUGGCAUGCCCGGUGCUACCAAUCUGAAAGAAUCUGAAGUAUUAGAAACCAUUGUGAAGAAGCAGGCUUCAGCUGGGCGUCUUUAUGCUGCUGUCUGUGCUUCACCUGCUGUGGCAUUAGGGUCUUGGGGUCUGUUGAAGGGAUUGAAGGUAAGAAUUAGAUAAGCCUUUUUUUAUGUUUGGUGUUCUUUUGGGAAUUGCAUUGAUAUUUGUGUUAUACAUCAGUUUUGCUCUCACCGAUGAUUGUUAAGUUCUAAUUUAUGGGGUUAUUCAUUUUUUGUAGGCUACUUGUUACCCGUCAUUUAUGGAGCAAUUAGCUCCUGCUUGUGCAGCAACUGUUGAAUCAAGAGUACAGCAGGAUGGUAAAGUUGUUACGAGUCGUGGACCUGGCACUACUAUGGAGUUUGCCAUUGCACUUGUCGAGCAGUUGUAUGGGAAAGAGAGAGCUGAUGAAGUUUCUGGGCCACUGGUAGUAACUUUUAUAGAUAAUGUUGUUUAAAAAAAUUGUGAGUUAUAUAAUUUGUGGAAAUUCAUUCUAAUAGGUUCAUCUAGUAUGUCAAAUUGGAAGGUUCAGAUGCUAAUAUAUUCCAAAAAAUUUGUUCAGGGGAAAAGUAUGACUUUUUGCAUUAGAGAUUCAUUAGAUGAAGUUGUAUACCUGCUGGCCCAUCUUAAUGUGGUGAAAACGAUGUCUGAUGAGACUGAUAUAAUUAUUGGAAUCUUGAUAAAUGCAUUUGUUGAGCUUGAAUGUCUCCACUGAUCACGUUCUUUUUAAUGUAAGUUCUUUCUCUUGGUAUUUGUCUUUGAAUCUUCUCUUCCUCAUGCUUUCGUCUUCACUGUCACCUUGUGCCUAGGUAAUGCGUGCAAAUCAUGGAGAUGAAUACACUAUUGCUGAAUUCAAUCCAAUUCAGUGGACAUUUGACAAUUCUCCCCAAGUAAGAUUUGACUUCUAGUUUCUUGUAGUUGUUUUUCUUCAUCCGAUGUUUUCAGGGAUACCCAUUUGGCAGUAUAUAAAAGUCUGUGAUAUCUUCUAUACAUAUACAUCAUUGGCUUCAGUCAUUUUCGAACAUAUUGGAGGUAGUAGAUGUAUUUUUAUGAUAUCUCUAAUAAAAUCCCAAGUUUGAUCAAUUACAAAAGAAGUAUGAGCGGUGCUGGACCGGGGGGGAAGAAGAAGUGGGGGGUCGGUGUGGUGGGGGUGUGCAGUGCAUGAAUAAAAGGAAAUGAUAGGGGGUGAAAGUUUGUGCUACCGACAUGCUGUAAAAUGGGGACAUAAUAUUUCAAAUUAGAUAUUGUGUGAUCCUUAAUAUUGCUGACUUUUGCUUAAAAUGGAAUUCUUGAUAACUUCAAAUGUUAAAGUUCUUGGUGAAAUUUUGUACUUUCUUUUCUUUCAGAUUCUUGUGCCUAUUGCAAAUGGUUCAGAGGAGAUGGAAGCUGUUAUGAUAAUUGAUAUUCUGCGACGAGCUAAAGCAAAUGUUGUAGUUGCAUCAGUUGAGGAUAAACCAGAAAUUCUGGCUUCUCGUCAAAUUAAAUUAGUGGCAGAUGUGCUCAUUGAUGAGGCGGCUAAACUCUCGUAUGAUUUAAUUGUCUUGCCAGUGAGUUGGGGUGCUUACUGUUGCUUCAUAGUCUUUACCACAUAAUUGACUUACUAACUACAAUUUAUCCAUGCACAUUGCAUAGGGUGGACUUGGUGGCGCUCAAGCAUUUGCGAAGUCAGAGAAAUUGGUGAAUAUGCUAAAGAAGCAAAAGGAAUCAAAUAGACCUUACGGUGCUAUAUGUGCAUCCCCAGCUUUAGUGUUGGAGCCCCAUGGCUUACUCAAGGUACGACCAUUUCUGCUUAAAUUAUUUACUCAGAUUUGGAUCACCUAAUCUGAACUUGAUGAAGGAUUAUGAUGUUGUGUGAUUUUAUGAAUGUGGUCUUAUCUCAUGUAAGUCGGUGAUGAAUUAAUUGAAGUUUGCUGACAAAUUAGAAACUGAAAAACUGCUGCUGCUUCGUUAGUUACAUUACCCAAAGAGUUAAAAUAAACAUCCCAAAUUUUUUGUCCCAAAUUCUGUCCCAAAUGAUAUGGCAUUUAUUGAGUGAUUGUAUUAUCUAACCAACCAAUUGAUGAAUGACACAUCAUUUGAGAUGGUUUUUUGGGAUAAAGAAUUUGGGAUUUUUACCCGCAAAAAUCCCAAGUACUUCCUGCUCCUGCAAUAUCAUUGCUGUGUAUUUGUUUUCCCCUUAGACAUAUUCAAUUGUGGUUCAGGGUAAAAAAGCUACAGCUUUUCCUGUUAUGUGCAACAAGCUGUCAGAUCAGAGUGAAAUCGAAAACAGGGUUGUGGUUGAUGGCAACCUCAUCACCAGUAGAGGGCCAGGAACUUCUAUGGAGUUUGCACUGGCAAUUGUGGAGAAGUUUUUUGGCCGCAACAAGGCACUUGAGCUUGCAAAGAUAAUGCUUUUCACUCGCACCUAACAUUUGUACGGGGACCUGACUACUAUUAAACUAGUGUGUUUAUUUCUGUAUUGCUACUGCUUGUAGAGAGGGGAAAUGGAAACUUGAAUUCAUGUUUGAAUAUGGAUUCACUGUGUGGGUUUGUACAGCAGUUUGAUUUAUAAAUAAAUGAGUUCAAAGAGUUACUUCAAAUAUUCGGAAUAAACCUGAGUUUAGUUCUGUUAUCAAUGGUCGGAGUCCAAUUGCGAUCGACACACUGGGAAUUUUAAUUAUGAACUAAAAAAUUGUUAUGUUAUAUUCCACCUUUCUCAUAAAAUGUUAACUCGAUUUACAGGAUAAGAAGGAAAAGAAAGACGCUAAGAGAGGAGCAGAGACCCAAAAAGAGUUGACCACUUUGUUGGAACAUAAACCUCUAGAAUAUUGAAAUAAAACACAUACCAUAUCUAGUAUUAAGUAUGUAUAUGCAAGAAGAUACAAAUUUGAAGAUCAGAUUUCUCAUUUCAAUUUAUGUUCUGCUUAGAGCAAUGGCUCUUAUUCCACAAGCACAAACAGGAAAGAGUACGCACGAAGUUAAGAAACACACAUUGCAAAAGUUGCAUUAACUACUUGCAGCAGCAUCAUCCAAGAACUUGACUUUAAUCUUCUUGAGCUUCGCUGCGGCAUCUGUCAUAUGCAUUCUCUUGUCAGGUGACUCUAUACAACAAUCCAAAGCCAAAUCCAUGAUGCUUAAUAAACAAUCCAUUUUGGCAGAAAAAGCUUGCUCUUCUCGCACCAAAUUUGCGUCAACAACUUCAGUCAAUCCGUGAGGUAAAGACUCCUUUACCCAUCUCCUUAAACUCAUUUCUCCUGCGAACAUUUCAUCGGUGGGCCUCUUUCUCGUGAAGGUUUCCAUCAAUAAAACACCAUAGCUGUAGACAUCACAUUUAGCUGAAACAAUUCCUUCUGAUCCAUACUCUGCAUUUUUUAAUUUUAAUUAUGAAACAAAUGAUAAAACAAAUAAUUUUUUGAUAAUUAAGGUAACCCAAACUUUGCUCGUGCUUGAAAAAAGAGUAAAAAUUUUAAUUACAAUUGAAACUUUACCUGGUGCCAUAUAACCAAUUGUAGCCAUUGUCAUGGUUUGUGUCACAGAAUCUUCUCCUUCACCUAAGAGUUUGGAAAUGCCGAAGUCGCUCACAUGUGCCACCAUAUUUUCAUCCAAGAGAAUGUUGGUGGGCUUCAAAUCACAAUGAAUUAUAGGUGCCGACGAAUGACCAUGAUGGAGAUAUUCAAGGGCCGACCCCACAUCUAUCAUUAUGUUCAACCUCUCUAGGAUGUCUAAGAAAUAGUUGUGAGAAUAUAACCACUUCUCGAGACUACCAUUUGGCAUGAACUCAAGUACCAAUGCUUUAAAAUCUUGAUUAGAACAACUGCUAAGGAUCUUUAUGAGAUUUCGAUGACGAACAUUCAGUAAAACUUCACAUUCAGAAUCAAAACUCCUAAAUGCUCUCUCUAGUUGCAGAUUGAAAACCUUUAUCGCAACAUCAGUCCCGUCGGAAAUGGUUCCUUUAUAAACUGAUCCAAAGCUACCUGUACCAAGCAAGUUACAUUCAUUAAAUUCAUCAGUUGCUCGUUGAAUGUCUAGGUAGGAUGUUCUUCUCCAUGUUGCAAGAGGUAGGAAAUCUUCGUGAUCUGAUUUUUUUGUACUCCUCUUUCGGCAUCUUAUGUACAUAAUGAUGAUAAUCACUAUAAGUACAGAGGAUACUAUCGGAGGCAAAAUAUAUUUAAGGACAAUUAGAGCAACGUUUUUGGUGCUUUUGCUGUCACCUUGUUUGCAAGGUGGGACUCGGAAUUUAGGUGGACCACAGAGUGCAUAAUUUCCGAAAAAUGAUUCAGCUGACAAGUUUUUAAAAGACCCCUUAACAGGAAUUUCCCCUUCUAGCCUAUUAUGAGACACAUUAAAUUGUUUGAGAUGUGAAAGUGUCUCCAAUGACUUAGGAAUUUUUCCAGAGAGAUUGUUGCCAGAGAGAUCUAAGGAUUCUAAGCUUAUCAAACUACCAACUGAUUCAGGAAUAGGUCCUUGAAAUUGAUUACUAGCCAAUGAUAGAGUUUCUAUAUCUUUGAGGGCACCGAUGGUUGAUGGAAUAUCACCUGAUAAUUGAUUCCUUGAUAAAUCUAAAACUCUCAAGACCUUUAACUUUUGUACAUUGGAAGGGAGAGAAUCAUUUAACGAAUUUGACGACAAGUUUAUCUCUAAGAUGUACUCAAGGCUCCACAAGGAUGACGGUAUACUAGAAGUGAGCUUGUUGGAGCCUAAGUGGAGUUCUCUUAGAGAUGUCAGACUCGCCAAGCAUGGUGGUAUAUGUCCAGAGAGCUUAUUUCCAUUUAACAUUAUUCCGUACAUCAACUCCAAGUGGCAAAGAUCAUAGGGAAUGGAUCCUUCCAAAUUAUUUUCUUCAAGAGAUAAACCUUGUAGCCGCUUAAGUCUUCCCAUCGUUGGUGAAAUAGUUCCAUUCAAGUCAUUGAAGCCGAGGCUUAAGAGGAUCAGGCCACGCAACUUACCAAUUUCUUUAGGAAUGCUGCCCCCGAGUUUGCAGUUGGAUGCAUAAAAUUGUCGAAGAGAAGCAGAGAAAUUUCCAAUUACUGGUGGAAGGAUGCCACCCAAUGGAUUAUAAGCUAAGGCUAAAACUGUUAAAUUUCUGCAAUUAGUCAGAGAAGAGAGAAAACUCCACUGAUCUGCUGAAGAUGAUUCUGUCGUCAAGUUAUUAAAUGCUAAGCCAAGCACGCCGAGGUGUCUCAAGUUGCCAAAUGUAUUUGGAAUAUGGCCUGAGAAUGAGUUAAAGCUCAAUUCUAGGCCAAUGAGUUUAGAAGCGUUUGUGAUGGAGUUGGGAAUUUUUCCGGUAAGGUUAUUGGCCGCCAAGGUUAAAUACUCUAUGCUCGGAAGCGAGUGGCCAAUCGUUGAUGGUAAGUGGCCUGAAAGUUGAUUGCUAAUUAGAUUAAGGACUGUUAGGGUUGAAAUGUUGAAGAUUGUGGGUGGAAUGGGGCCACUUAAAUUAUUCGCACUAAGAACAAGGGUAUCCAAAUUUUGUAGAUUGCCAAUCUCAGUUGGAAUUUGACCUGUCAUAAAGAUAAACGCCAAAUUGAUGAGUUAUUGAGCUUUUUACUUAACAUAAAUUUUAAUUUCAUAACGCAUGAAAAUCAAAUUUGCCCACAAAAUGUGUGUUAUUAGUUUUAUAAUUUUUUUUUGGGUUUUUUUUGGGGGGGGGGGGGGGGAGAUUGAUAUUGCUACCUCAUAAUUUUUGUAAAACCCCACCCGCUUUCAGAGAAUUAUUGGAACAAGAUUCUUAAAAAAAUUCAAAUAAAGAAGAAGUUUGGAGAAAUAAUCAAUUAAAUCCAUCUUAAUAUACUUUUUGAAACUUAUAUUCUUUUAUCAUAUAUAAUAACUAAGGUUGCUUUAACAUAAAUUUAAUAUAACUAGUCUACUCUCAUAAGGUAGAAUUACUAAAAUACCCACAAAUUUACUUCAACUUCAACUAAACUAACAAAAUGUAUUUGUUGACAUGUGGGGAACUAAAAAUUAUUGAAUUUUAUUUUAGAAAUAUUGUAUUACAAAACAUAAAACAAAAUGCCGAAACUAUAUAUUAGAUACAAUAGUACAUGUUUUUCGGGGUAAUUUGGUCAUUUUAUAUUAUAAGAGUAAAAUAGUCAAAUUAAACUUAUUUUAAAGCAACCGUAAACGGUCAAAGAUUGUUAAAAGCCCUAAGUCAUAAAAGAAAAACAUUAUAAAAAUAAUUUAUUAAUUGUUCAGACUUAAUUUAUAAUUUUAUAACAUAAUGUGAACUUAUUAUAACUAUCUUUUCAAAAUGAGGUGGGUUUGCAAGAAUAAUGAGUGGAAAUAUCCCCACCCUAUAAAAUAAAAAGAAUUUUGCAGCUAUGCAAAUGCAAAUAUGUAGAACGUACCUUGUAGGUUGUUAUAACCUAGAUUCAGAAUGAAAAGGCUGCUAAAAUUUCCUAUCCCUGAAGGAAUAUUUCCAUCAAUAACGUUGUAGAUUGCGUCGAACACCUCCAGCUUCGAUAAAUUGAGGAGAGAAUUUGGGAUUGGACCCGUGAAACUGUUAUUAUAAAGCCUCAACGUUUGUAAUUUGGAUAAGACACCAAUCCAUGUUGGAAUGCUUCCACUCAAUUUAUUGAAACCGAAUCUAAUGAAUCUGAGUCGGCGUAAUUGCCCCAAUUCAUUAGGCAGAUGGCCAUGAAAAUUAUUAUGAGCAACAUCAAGAGAUACUAAGAACGUGAGAUUUCCCAAGUGUAGUGGAAUGGUGCCUCCGAGACCCAUAUCUGAAAGAUUCAAGGCAGUGACUCUUUGAUGGCGUGAACCACAAGAGAUACCAACCCAGCUACAUAUUGGAUAAGAUAUAGACCAAUUAUUUGUCAGAUCACUUCGAUAAUCAACGACACGGGCUUUGAAUGCAAGAAGAGCCGAUUGAUCUGUUGUUAAGUUGCUCAAAGUCGUCAUAGCUAAGCUAGCUAUGGAAUAUUGUACCAACAACAUAGGAACAAAGAAGAAUGAUAAGCACAUAUUGGUCGUUUUUUUUUAUAGAUGCAGCAAUCUAAUUGCUAGGUGAAGUUGAUACAAGUUUUAAGUGAAGGAAACUAGCAUAUACUUAUACAAGAGACGUAUGAAUUUGAAAACAAGAAAAGAAAAAAAUGUACAGGAGAGUGGAGACAUGCAAAUUGGUAUAUUUCAUCAUUGAGCGAGUCGUCCAAGUAAACUCAUACAGACCUGUAAAUUGUUAUAGGCCGCGGUACUUGAACCGUGAAUAAAGGGCUUAUGGCACUUGACUUACCAAAAAGAAGAAGAUGCUCAACAUUGGCAAGGCCUAUGCAUUCUGUCCAUUUGUUCACGUUUUGCCAAGGCUCAGGGCAACCACAAUAUGUUCUUUUUCUUCCCUCUUAAAACAAAAAACAAAAAAAAAAGACGACAUUUACAUUUGGGCUAAUAAUUAUAACUAAACAAUUAAUAAUACUGAGGGUCAGUGGUAAUGUAGCUUUAAAAUAAUUGUUAUUAGUUGUGUCUUAAAAAUAAAGAAAAAAAAUAACUAUACCCAUAUAAUUAAUAAAAUAAUCAUGUAAAUUCCUAAGCUUUUAACAAUAUACACCAAGACCCCCUACCGUUACUUUUUACCAUUUAUUUGGAUGUCACAUGCUUUUUUUUUUUAAUUUUCACAGUGGAUAUCAAAUGCUAAAUUUACUGUUAUUCCCAUAUCAUGUCAUCACUUGCUUCUACACACAUUGAUUGUUUUUCCAAAGUUUCAAAUUGAAUUAAAAACAUUCUAAUUAACCUAAAAAAAACUCAUCCAACCAGAUAUAAAUCAUCUAAUUAACCUAAAGAUAGCUACACCCCCAUAUUAAUUCCAAUUAAAUAAAAUUCAUUUUUGUCAUGAUUUUGGAUCUCGAGCAGGGUGGAUAUAUCCAACUAGAUCCGCCCCAUUGGCAUUCCAGUAUAUUCUGUAAUUGGAAGAGUAUGAAUGACUUAAUUUGUAAUUUUAAAUUUGUAACGUUCAAUUCUAAUUUGAGGAUUCAAAUGAAUUUAUGCGAAUCUAAAAGGGGACUGAAGAUUGGCAUGCAUACAUGCAUACAUAUACAUAUAUAUAUAAAUAGAGAGAGAGAGAGAGAGAGAGAGAGAGAGAGGUAAUAUAACAUUCUUCUUGAUGAAGAUUUUUGUGCCAUACGAAUUAAAGAGAGUAUUGUGUCGAUGUUCGAGGCUAGAGCGACAAUUGGUUACAUUGCUUCAGAGGUGUUUAGUAGAAACUUUGGUGAGGCAUCACAUAAUUUAAAUUACUAGAUUUAGCGAGAUAUAUAUAUUUUCCACAUUGGAUUUACAAGCAUUUCGAGCAGUAUAAUGAAUUAAAAUUACUCGGAAUUGUAAACAGCGAGGAAAGUGAAAUUGCUAAGAAGAUGAAUAUUUUGUUGUUUUGUGGUGUACACGGACUCGUCCAUCGGAUAGGUCGCCCAUGAACAGAGGGAUAGAAAUGUUAUUGCCAAGAAGCAGACUGACUAGCAGUGACGCUUUGAAAAGUCCACCGGACAUCGUCUCCUCCAAGACCACCAAUAGAUUCUUCCACCAUUUCAACGUCGUGACGUGGGGAUCGGAAUUGAAUUAUAGGAUGCUUGUAAGUUUCCUUUGUGGAACUUGUGAAUUUGUGAUGGCAAAAGUCAAUGAUGCAUGUAACUAGCUAGCCCGUGUAGACUCCGUUUUACACUUUUUCAAAACCCAAAAGCACGCUAAAUCUUAAUCUUAAAAGAAUUUUUGAUUCAGUGCUGAAUUUUGGGCUUAUCUUUAAGUAAUCUUUUACCACGCAUGCAUUUUUGUCAUUGUGCAGUCAUCGAUUGCUUCUAAAGAUCGUAAUCCUUAAGAAAAAAUUACUUCUCUUGAAAGUGAAAGCAGGGCAGCUAUUGGCGUAUUGCAUUGCAGCUGCUAUGUGUAGUAGUCAAUUCUUGGAAACAACUAGUUUUCUUAAAUUGUAAACGGUCCCCUUUAUGACUGGGAGAUUUUGAACAAAAUUAAUAUGACGAAUUCUUUGCAGGUGUUGUUCCUUGAAGUCUCAUCUUUCACAAUGUUUCUGAAAUAAAGAUAUUACCAUCUCUGAUUUAAUAUUUAUUCUUGAUUUGUACCACCUAAUCUGAACUUGAUGAAAGAAUAAAGAUUAUGAUCUUGCCUGAUUUUAUUAAUGUGGUCUUAUCUCACGUAAGUCAGUAAUGAAUUAAGGAAAAUUAUCAUUCGUAUACCCUAUAAUUGCUCUGUUAUAAAAAAUACUACAACACUUUGAGGGUGUAUCAAUUGUCCACCCUAAGUUAACAAAAUGUAUCUGUCAUCCACCAAACCGUUAUUUGCCGUUUAAAUAGAAUGACACCAGAGGGGUAAUUUUAUCUUUUCAUAUGAUACAAGUGAUAAUUUAAGGGUAUACAAGUGAUAAUAAAAGAAUUUAAAGGUAUACAAGUGAUAAUUUUAUUUACUUUAAUUUAAGUUUCAAGGGUAAAAUCGUCAAUUCACUAUAAUUCCGUUAACUUUCAAACGGUAGCUAACGGUUUGGUGGUCGGCAGAUAGCUUUUGUUAAUUUAAGGUGGACGAUUGAUAUACUCUCAAAGUGUUGUAGUAUUUUUGAUAAUAGAGCAACUAUAGGAUAUAUGAUUGAUAAUUUCCCAUGAAUUAAUUAAAGUUUACUGUCAAAUUACAAACACAAAAACUGCUGCUGCUUCAUUAUUCACAAUACCUAAAGUCAGUGCAGAACUUAAUAAGUUUUCCAAAAGUUUUACGCUUUCUUUCCCCCAAAUCCCAAGUACUUACUAGAUAUGUCAUGUUUAUACCCAAAGUCAGUGCAGAACUUACUCGAUAUGUCAUGUUUACACAAGAGUUUGUUUAUAAAUAAAUGAGUUGACAAAUAUUUGCCAAAAAAAACGGUGAGUGAUGUCUAGUUCUAUUUUCACAGUUCAGAGUCCAAUUUUGAUUACUGGAAAUUUUAAUUAUGAAGUUGAACUAAGAAUUUGUUAUAAUAUCUUCAACCUUCCUAUACAGUCAUCUGGAAUAAUAAUAUAUCAAAAACAGUAAUAACUCGAUUUACAGGGUGAGAAAGAAAAGAAAGACGCUACGAGGGAAGCAGAGAUUCAAAGACUUCGCCACUUUGUUGGAGGAACAAUUUCAUAAAUCUCCAGAAUAUUGACAUAAAACACAUAACAUACAUAUCUAGCAUUAAGUAUAUUUAUGUAUGUCCAAAGAUAAAAAUUUGAAGAUUAAAUUUAUCAUUUCAAUUUAUGUUCUGCCCAAAGCAAUGGCUUUUAUUCCACAAGCACAAACAAGAAAGAGUACGCACAAAGUUAACAAACACACAUAGCAAACGUGACAUCAACCACUUGCAGCAGCAUCAUCCAGAAACUUCACUCUAAUCUUCUUGAGCUUUUCAGCGGCGUCUUUCGUAGAUGCCCCCUGUUCUGGUGAUUCCAUGCAACAAUCCAAUGCCGAAUGCAUGAUGCUUAAUAAACAAUUCAUUUUAGGAGAAAAAACUUGCUCUUCUCUCACCAAGUUUGCAUCGACAACAUCACUCAAGGCACGAGGUAAUGACUCCCUUACCCAGUCUCUUAAACUUAUUUCUCCUGUAAACAUUUCAUUUGUGGGAUUCUUUCUGGUGAAAGUUUCCAUCAAUAAAACACCAUAACAAUAGACAUCACCUUUGGCCGAAAUCAUUCCUUCUAAUCCUUACUCUGCAUUUUUUUGGUUUCGAUAGAUCAAAUGGAUGUGACAUCAUAAAACAAAUGAUAAACAAAUAGUCUUUUGACAGUCAAGAUGGCCCAAACUUUGACUGUGCUUCGAAAAGAGCGAAAAUUUGAAAUUAUAAUUGAAACCUUACCUGGUGCCAUAUAACCAGUUGUAGCCACUGUCAUGAUUUGGGUCACAGAAUUUUCUUCAUCACCUAAGAGUUCGGAAAUGCCGAACUCACAUGUGCCACCAUAUUUUCAUCCAAGAGAAUGUUGCUAGGCUUCAAAUCACAAUGAAUUACAGGUGCUGAUGAAUGAUCGUGAUGGAGAUAUUCAAGUGCCAGCCGCACAUCUAUCAUUAUAUUCAACCUCUCUAGGAUAUCUAGGAAAUAGUUGUGUGAACACAACCAUUUCUCAAGACUACCAUUGAGCAUGAACUCAAGCACCAGUACUUUAGAAUCUGGAUUGCAACAGCUGCUAGUGAUCUUUGUGAGAUCUUGAUGACGAACAUUCCACAAUACUUCACAUUCAGAAUCAAAACUCCUAAAGGCUCUCUCUAGCUGCAGAUUGAAAACCUUUAUUACAAUAAUAGUCACAUCAUAAAGUGUGCCUUUAUAAACAGAUCCGAAGCUCUCCAUACCUAGCAGGAUACAUUCACUAAAUCCAUCAGCUGCUCGUUGAAUAUCAUGAUAGGAUAGUCUUCUCCAUGUUGUCGAAGAGAACAAAUCUUCUUUAUCUGGAGUUCUUGUUUUCCUAUUUUGAAAUAUUAUGAAGAAUCAUAACAAUUGUUAUUAGUGCAUUGGAUAUAAUCGAAGGCAAAGUAUAUUUCAGGACAAGCAGAGUAGCAUUCUUGGAUCCUUUGCUAUUAUCUUCUUUGCAAGGUGGGACUUGAAGGCCUGGUGGACCACAUAGUGCAUAAUUCUCAAAAAACGAUUGAGCUGAAAUGUUUUUAAAAGGUCCUUUGAUAGGAAUUCCCCCUUCUAGCCUAUUGUGAGACACAUUAAGUUGUUUGAGAUAUGAGAGUGCCUCCAUUGACUUUGGAAUUUCUCCAGAGAGAUUGUUGCUAGGGAGAUCCAAAGAUUCCAACCUUAUCAAACUACCAAAUGAUUUAGGGACCAGACCAUAAAAUUGGUUUCUAGCCAAGGACAAAGUUGCUAGAUCUUUGAGGCCACCAAUACUUACUGGUAUAUCACCUGAUAAUUGAUUUCUUGAUAAAUCAACUCUAUUAAGACCUUUAAGUUUUGUACAUCUGAAGAUAGAUGACCACUUAGAGAAUUUGUUGACAAGUUUACAUACAAGAUGUACUCAAGAUUCCACAAGGAUGAUGGGAUACUAGAAGUGAGCGUGUUGCAGCUUACAAAGAGUGUUUUUAAGGAAUUGAAUAUCUGAAAUCUUGUAUGUAAAUAUUAACACUUAGAGAAUUUGUUGACAAGUUUUUAAGGAUUUACUGAUUAAAUAAUUUUCCAAUUUGUUUGCCUGGAGGAAUUGAAUAGUUAACUGAUUAAAGGAUUUCAAGGUGGUUAGGUCCAGCCGAGCAUUGUAAAUAUUAACGGUCAUUAUGAAUGUGUAAUUCCUAUAUGUGAAAUUGAAUUUCCAUGGUAAAUUUCUGCUAGGGUGUGAUUGUAUGGUAGCCAAUUGUGAGCAACAGAUCCACAUAGUAAUAUAGACUGAAAUUUUGCGUCUUAAGCCAUGAAGAUAUAGAUUUUGGCAAAUAUUAUACAAGCAUUGUUUGCAACACCACAGCUAAUUUGCAGUAGGAUGAAACACUCAGAAUUUUGCCUUUUUCAUGUAUAAAAUUUUAUUUUUUUAAUUGUGAUAUUACAGUUUUGCCCAUCAAGCAUUAUGAAGCUUAAUAUUUGGAUAAAUGUUAGGUUUAAUCUAUAAAUUUUAACUUCAGUGUUUAUUUAGUUUUUAUAUUUUGUAAAAUAUCUCAAGGCAGCCCUAUUAUCAAAUAUUGGCUUGAUCCGUAUAUAUUAACUUCAGUGCUUUAUUUAGGUUUUAUAUUUUGAAAAAUACUUUAAGGCAGUUCUAUUAUCAAAUAUGUUAUGCUCUUGCUUUUAUUUUUUCUUUGUUUUUAUAAUAAUACUCUGAUAACAAUAUUUUUUUACAUUAAUUUUUUAAUCAAUAAAAAGGUAACUAGCAAAUUAACUGAUAAAUUAAUUUGUUAAUUUUUUUAAUCAAUAAAAAAUUUAAUUAAUAAAUUACUUGGUAGCAAAUUAAAAAAUAAAUAUUAGCAUAAAACAAUUGAUAUUUUUCAUUCUCUUACAACAAUCUUACUAAUAAUUUUUUUAUAAAAAAUUAAUUUAUUAAAUUAAUCCUUAAAAGUAAAAUAAUAAUAAUUAAUUUGUAUCUUAGUUUUAAAGUUAAUUUGAUAAAUUCAAUUUUUUAAUUAAUAUCUCCAAAAAUAUAGUUGCAACGAUAUUAUUGCAAAAGUAAAAAAAAAAAUAUAUAUAGAAUUUUAAUAUAACUGCCAGUAAAAAUAACUUGAAAUAUUUUUUAAGAUAUAAAAAUUAAACCAACACUUAAUUAAAAAUAUAAAGAAUUAAAUAAACAUUUAUCUUCUAACAUUUCAACCUACUGGCUAAUGGUCAUACAAUCGUGGUGUGGUCCGGGAUGCCCGGCCCAGCCCAUCAUGCAAAAAGCCAUGUCACCCAUAUUCUUAGGCUGCUACUGCAUUAAAAAAAUGAUAUUAAUAAGCGUACGCCACGUCACUCCUCACUCUCUUCUUCGUCACUUUCCUCUCACUCAACAUUUUCUCCCCAAACAAAUUCCUUCUUUGAAAAAUCGCAUUUUCUCCUUCACAGCAACAGCUACAAUGUCUUCAACUUCCAAAAAGGUGAUUUUUUUUUAAUUUUAUUUUUUGUUUAGUUUCUUUCUGUUGCCUUUUUGUUUCGUUUUUUGAAUUUUCUGUGUCGUUUUUUUCCCCCAAGGUUUUGGUGCCUGUUGCGAACGGGAGUGAGCCGAUUGAGUCCGUGAUAACGAUCGAUGUUUUGAGAAGGUCUGGAGCUGACGUCACGGUUGCGUCUGUGGAGAAACAGCUCCGUGUCGACGCGUGUCAUGGUGUCAAGAUUGUCGCUGAUGCUCUCGUGUCUGACUGCCGCGACGCCGUUUUUGAUCUUAUAGCUCUUCCCGUAUGUAUUGCAGCUCUCCUCAGCUCGUGCUAAUUUAUGUGAUGUUUGUAUAAUUAUAGAUGAUUACUGCUGAUACUGAAUGUUAAGCUAAAUAAUUCGUUCUUAAGUCAUCUUCAUUUAAUUUUCGAUUGAAAAUGAAAAAAAUAAUAAUUUUAAGCAAAGAAAAAUAUAGAAAAUGUUUAUUUUGUUUAAUUUUCAAUUUUUAAUUUUCAGGGAUUUCAUUAUUGUGACUGUUAUCAUUCAUUAUAUGGUCAUAGUUAAAUGUUUCAAAUUGUUGUAGUCAGUGAAAUUCUUUUCGAUAUUUAUUCUGGCAUGUAUAUUUUUCCUUUUCAAUUUCUUUUGUUGCUGAUUCUUUGAUUAUGUUAUAUCCUUUUUUGUUUCCCUUGUAGGGUGGCAUGCCCGGUGCUACCAAUCUGAAGGAAUCUGAAGUAUUAGAAAGCAUUGUGAAGAAGCAGGCCUCAGCUGGGCGUCUUUAUGCUGCUGUCUGUGCUUCACCUGCUGUGGCAUUAGGGUCUUGGGGUCUGUUGAAGGGAUUGAAGGUAAGAGUUAGAUAAGCCUUUUUGAUGUUUUGUGGUCUUUUGGGAAUUGCACUGAUAUUUUUGUUAUGGUUCAGUUUUCUUCUCGCUGAUGAUUGUUAAGUUCUAAUUUAUGUAGUUGUUCAUUUUUCCUAGGCUACUUGUUAUCCGUCAUUUAUGGAGCAACUAGCUCCUGCUUGUGCAGCAUGUUGAAUCAAGAGUACAGCAGGAUGGUAAAGUUGUUACGAGUCGUGGACCGGGCACUACCAUGGAGUUUGCCGUUGCACUUGUUGAGCAGUUGUAUGGGAAAGAGAAAGCUGAUGAAGUUUCUGGGCCACUGGUAUUAGCUUUUAUAGAUAACGUUGUUUAAAAAAAUUAUGAGUUAUAUAAUUUGUGGAAGCUUCAGAUGCUAAUGUAUUCAAGAAAAUAAGUUCAGGGGAAGAGUAUGACUUUUUGCAUUAGUGAUUCAUUAGAUGAAAUUGUAUACCUGCUGGUCCAUCAUAAGGUGGUGAAAACAAUGUUUGAUUUAAUUAAUGAAAUCCUGAAAUAUGCAUUUGUUGAGCUUCAAUGUCUCCACUGAUAAAAUUCUUUUUAAUGUAAGUUCUUUCUCUUGGUAUUGUAUUUGAAUUUUCUGUUCCUCAUGCUUUCGUCUUUACUGUCACCUUGUGCCUAGGUAAUGCGUGCAAAUCAUGGAGAUGAAUACACUAUUGCUGAGUUCAAUCCAAUUCAGUGGACAUUUGACAAUUCUCCUCAGGUGAGAUUGGACUGUUAGUUUCUUGUAUUUGUUUUUCUUCUUCCAUGUUUUGAGGGAUACCCAUUUGGCAGUAAAUAAAAAUCUGUGAUAUCUUCUAUACAUGUACAUAUACAUCAUUGACUUCACUCAUUUGUGAACAUAUUGGAGGUAGUAGAUUUAUUGUUAUGAUAUGUCUAAUAAAAUCCAAAGUUCGAUGCAACUACAAAAGAAGUAUGAGCAGUGCUCGACCAGAGAGGAAAAAGGUGGUUUUUUUCUUUUUUUUUUUUGGGGGGGGGGGGGGGGUUGGUUGGGUGGCAAAGGGAAUGAUAAGUUCAGGGUAUCAACAAGCUGUAAAAUGGCUAUCGAAAAACUGAUAUUUCACAUUAGAGAAUGUGAGGACCUGAAGAUUGCUGACUUGUGGUCAAAAUGGAAUUCUUGAUAACUUUAAAUGUUAAAAAUUCUUGGUGAAAAUUUUGUACUUUUUUUUCUUUCAGAUUCUUGUGCCUAUUGCGAAUGGUUCAGAGGAGAUGGAAGCUGUUAUAAUAAUUGAUAUUCUGCGACGAGCUAAAGCAAAUGUUGUGGUUGCGUCAGUUGAGGAUAAACUAGAAAUUCUGGCUUCUCGUCAAGUUAAAUUAGUGGCAGAUAUGCUUAUUGAUGAGGCAGCUAAACUUUCGUAUGAUUUGAUUGUCUUGCCAGUAAGUGGGGUUGCUAACUCUUGCCUCAUAGUCUUUACCAAAUUAUUGACUUACUAGCUACAAUUUAUCUAUGCACAGGGUGGACUUGGUGGUGCUCAAGCAUUUGCGAAGUCAGAAAAAUUGGUAAAUAUGCUAAAGAAGCAAAAGGAAUCAAAUAGACCUUACGGUGCUAUAUGUGCAUCCCCAGCACUAGUGUUGGAGCCCCAUGGCUUACUCAAGGUAUGACCAUUUCUGCUUAAAUAUUUAUUCUUGAUUUGAAUCACCUAAUCUGAACUUGAUAAAACAUUGUGAUCUUGUGUGAUUUUAUGAACGUGGUCUUAUCUCAUGUAAGUCUGUAAUGAAUUUAUUGAAGUUUGCUGACAAAUUACAAACUCAAAAACUGCUGCUGCUUCAUUAGUUACAGUACCCAAGGAGUUAUGAUAGACAUCCCAAACUUUUUACCCCAAAUUCCCUCUCAAAUGACAUGGUAGUUAUUAAGUGGUUGGUAAUUUUUUAUAAGAUAUAAGUGAAUUAAUUAAUUAUAUUAUUUAAUCAACCAAUUGAUGAAUGUCACGCCAUUUGAGAUGAAUUUUUGGGAUGUGUAGCAAAACUUUAUGCUGAUUUGUUUUGGCUACAUUCAUGUAAAACAUUUUUCCCCAAAUCCCAAGAACUUCCCGCAAUAUCAUUCCUUUGUAUUUGUUUUCCCCUUUAGACAUGUUUAACUUUGGUUCAGGGUAAAAAGGCUACGGCUUUUCCUGCCAUGUGCAACAAGCUAUCAGAUCAAAGUGAAAUCGAAAACAGGGUUGUGGUUGAUGGCAACCUUAUCACCAGCAGAGGGCCAGGAACUUCCAUGGAGUUUGCACUGGCAAUUGUGGAGAAGUUUUUUGGCCGCAACAAAGCACUUGAGCUUGCAAAGAUAUUGCUUUUCACCCGCACCUAAAAUUUGUACCAGGACCCGACUAAUAUUAAACUAGAGUGUUUAUUUCUGUAUUACUACUGCUUGUAGAGAGGCGAAAUGGAAACUUGAAUUCAUGUUUGAAUAGGGAUUCACUGUGCGGGUUUGUACAAGAGCUUGUUUAUAAAUAAAUGAGUUCAUAAAGAGUCAUUUUAAAUAUUUGGAAUAAACGUGAGUUGCUGUUUAGUUCUGUUUUCAAUGUUCACCGUUCAAUUGUGAUCCAGAGCAAUAUAACUACACUCACUGGGAAUUUUAAUUAUGAACCAAGAACGAAGUUGAACCGAGAAUUUGAUACUUUAUAUAUUCCAGUUACCAUAUUUAAGAAAGAGUAUUGAAAAGAAAGACGCUAAGAGAGAAUAUUGAAGUUAAACAGAUACCAUAUCUAGUAUUAAGUCUGUAUGCCAAAGUUACAAAUUCGAAGAUCAGAUUCCUCAUUUCAAUUUAUGUUCUGCUCAAAACAAUGGCUCUUAUUCCACAAGCACAAACAAGAAAGAGUACGAACAAAGUUAACAGAGACACGCAGUGAAAAUUACGCUAAUUGGUUGCAGCAGCAUCAUCCAGGAACUUCACUUUAAUCCUCUUGAGCUUUGCUGCAGCGUCUGUCAUAUUUAUCCUCAUGUCGGGUGACUCCAUACAACAAUCCAAUGCCAAAUCCAUUAUGCUUAAUAUACAAUCCAUUUUGGCAGAAAAAGCUUGCUCUUCUCGCACCAAAUUUGCGUCAACAACUUCACUCAAUCCGUGAGGUAAUGACUCCUUUACCCAUGUCCUUAAACUCGUUUCUCCUGUGAACAUUUCAUCGGUGGGCCUCUUUCUCGUGAAAGUUUCCAUUAAUAAAACACCAUAGCUGUAGACAUCACAUUUAGCUGAAACAAUUCCUUCUGAUCCAUACUCUGCAUUUUUUUUAAUUUCAAUUAUGAAACAAAUGAUAAAACAAAUAAGUUUUUGAUAAUUAAGGUAACCCAAACUUUGCUCGUACUUGAAAAAAGAGUAAAAAUUUUAAUUACAAUUGAAACUUUACCUGGUGCCAUAUAACCAAUUGUAGCCAUUGUCAUGGUUUGUGUCACAGAAUCUUCUUCUUCACCUAAGAGUUUGGAAAUGCCGAAGUCGCUCACAUGUGCCACCAUAUUUUCAUCCAAGAGAAUGUUGGGAGGCUUCAAAUCACAAUGAAUUAUAGGUGCCGACGAAUGACCAUGAUGGAGAUAUUCAAGAGCCGACCCCACAUCUAUCAUUAUAUUCAACCUCUCUAGAAUGUCUAAGAAAUAGUUGUGAGAAUACAACCACUUCUCGAGACUACCAUUUGGCAUGAACUCAAGUACCAAUGCUUUAAAAUCUGGAUUAGAACAACUGCUAAGGAUCUUUAUGAGAUUUCGAUGACGAACAUUCUGUAAAACUUCACAUUCAGAAUCAAAACUCCUAAAUGCUCUCUCUAGUUGCAGAUUGAAAACCUUUAUCGCAACAUCAGUCCCGUCGGAAAUGGUUCCUUUAUAAACUGAUCCAAAGCUACCUGUACCAAGCAAGUUACAUUCAUUAAAUUCAUCAGUUGCUCGUUGAAUGUCUAGGUACGAUGUUCUUCUCCAUGUUGCAAGAGAUAGGAAAUCUUCGUGAUCUGAUUUUCUUGUACUUCUAUUUCGGCAUCUUCUGUACAUAAUGAUGGUAAUCACUAUAAGGACCGUGGAUACUAUCGGAGGCAAAAUAUAUUUAAGGACAAUUAGAGCAACUUUCUUGGUUCUUUUGCUGUUAUCUUGCUUGCAAGGUGGGACUCGAAGUUUAGGUGGACCACAGAGUGCAUAAUUUCCAAAAAAUGAUUCAGCUGACUAGUUUUUAAAAGACCCCUUAACAGGAAUUUCCCCUUCUAGCAUAUUUUGAGACACAUUAAAUUGUUUGAGAUGUGAAAGUGCCUCCAAUGACUUAGGAAUUUUUCCAGAGAAAUUGUUGCCGGAGAGAUCUAAGGAUUCUAAGCUUAUCAAACUGCCAACUGAUUCAGGGAUAGGUCCUUGAAAUUGAUUACUAGCCAAGGAUAGAGUUUCUAGAUCUACGAGGGCACCAAUGGUUGAUGGAAUAUUACCUGAUAAUUGAUUCCUUGAUAAAUCUAAAACUCUCAAGACCUUUAACUUUUGUACAUUGGAAGGGAGAGAAUCAUUUAAUGAAUUUGACGACAAGUUUAUCUCUAAGAUGUACUCAAGGCUCCACAAGGAUGACGGUAUACUAGAAGUGAGCUUGUUGGAGCCUAAGCGGAGUUCUCUUAGAGAUGUCAAACUCGCCAAGCAUGGCGGUAUAUGUCCAGAGAGCUUAUUUCCAUUUAACCUUAUUCCGUACAUCAACUCCAAGUGGCAAAGAUCAUAGGGAAUGGAUCCUUCCAAAUUAUUGUCUUCAAGAGAUAAACCUUGUAGCUGCUGUAAUGUUCCUACAGAUGUUGGAAUAGUUCCGUUCAAGUCAUUGAAGUCGAGGGUUAAGAGGAUCAAGCCACGUAAAUUACCAAUUUCUUUAGGAAUGCUGCCCCCGAGUUUGCACUCGUAAGCAUAAAAGCUUUGAAGAGAAGCAGAGAAAUUUCCAAUUAAUGGUGGAAGGAUGCCACCUAAUGGAUUAGAAUCUAAGACUAAAUAGGAUAGCUUUCUACAAUUAGUCAAAGAAGAGAGAAAACUCCACUGAUCUGCUGAAGAUGAUUCUGUCGUCAAGUUAUUCGUUCGUAUGCUGAGCACGUUGAGGUGCCUCAAGUUGCCAAAUGUAUUUGGUAUAUGGCCUGAGAAUGAGUUAGAGCCCAAGUCUAGACCAAUGAGUUUGGAAGCAUUGGUAAGAGAGUCAGGAAUUGUCCCGAUAAGAUUAUUGAUCGCCAAGGUUAAAUACUCUAUGUUCGGAAGCGAGUGGCCUAUCGUUGAUGGUAGGCGGCCUGAGAAUUGGUUGCUGUGUAGAUUAAGGACUCUUAUGGUUGAAAUAUUGAAGAUCGCGGGUGGAAUGAGGCCACUUAAAUUAUUCGUACCAAGAGCAAGACUCUCCAAAUUUUGUAGAUUGCCAAUCUCGGUUGGAAUUUGAUCUGUCAUAUCGAUUAAACCAACAUUGAUGAGUUAUUGAAUUUUUUGCUAAACAUAAAUUUAAUUUCAAAAUUCAUGAAAAUCAAAAUUUCCCACAAAAUAUGUGUUAUUAGUUUUAUAAUAAUUUAGGGGGUAAUGAUAUUUCUACCCCAUGAUUUUUGUAAAACACACAUGCUUUUAGAAAAUUAUUACCGCAAGAUCACAUUAUUCUUAAAAAUUCAAAUUAAGAAGAAGUUUCUAGAAUUAAUCAAUUAAAUCCAUAUUAAUUUAUAUUUGAAACUUAUAUUCUUUUAUUAUAUUUAAGUACUAAGGUUGUUUUAACAUAAAUUUAAUUGACUAUUUUACCCUCCUAAGGUAAAAGUACUAAAAUCCUCAAAAAUUUACUUCAACUAAACUAACAAAAUGUAUUUAUGACCUAUGGGGCAUUAAAAAUAUUGAAUUUUAUUUUUAAAAUAUUAUAUUACAAAACAUAAAACUAUAUGCUAGAUACUAUAGUACAUGUUUCUUGGGGUAAUAUAGUCAUUUUACAUUAUAAGGAUGAAAUAGUCAAAUUAAACUUAACUUGAAGCACCCGUAAAUGCCAAAAAUUGUUAAAAGACCUAAGUCAUAAAAGAAAAUUAUUAUCAGAAUAAUUUAUUUAGUUAAUUAUCUGACUUAUUGUUAAUUUAUAAUUUUAUAAGCUAUUGUGAACUUAUUGCAAUUAUCUAAUGGAGAUGAGGGGGGGUUUUGCAAGAAUAUGAGCGGCAGUAUUGCCACUCUAUAAAAUAAAAAGAAUUAUGCAGUCAUGCAAAUGCAAAUAUGCUGAACUUACCUUGCAGGUUGUUAUGACGAAGAUCCAAAUCAAAAAGGUUGCUCAAAUUUCCUAUCCCUGAAGGAAUAUUUCCAUCAAUAACGUUGAAACUUGCUUGUAACAUCUCCAAUUUCGAUAAGUUGAAGAGAGAAUUUGGGAUUGGACCCGUGAUAUUGUUAUUACGAAGACUCAUUAUUUGUAAUUUGGAUAAGACACCAAUCCAAGUUGGAAUGCUUCCACUCAAUUUAUUGAAACUGAAACUAAUGAAUUUGAGUCGGCCUAAUUUCCCCAAUUCAUUAGGUAGAUGGCCAUAAAAAUUGUUCAAAGUAACAUCAAGAGACAUUAGGAAUGAGAGAUUUCCCAGGUGUGGGGGAAUAGUGCCUCCGAGACCCAUGCCUGAAAGAUUUAAAGCCUUGACUCUUUGAUGGCGUGAAUCACAAGAAAUACCAACCCAGCUGCAUAUUGGAUGAGAUAUAGACCAAUUAUUUGCUAGGACACUCCGAUAAUCACCGACGUGGGCUUUGAAUGCAAGAAGAGCUGAUUGAUCUGUUAAAUUGUUUAAAGUCGUCGUAGCUAAGUUAGCUAUGGAAUAUUGUAACAACAUAGGAACAAAGAAGAACGAUAGGCGCAUAUUGGUCGUUUUUAAUAGAUACAGCAACAUAAUUGCUAGGUGAGAUUGAAACAAGUUUGAAGUGAAGGAAAUUAGCAUAUACUUAUACAAGAGACAUGAAUUUGAAAACAAGAAAAGAAAAAAUAUACAGGAGACUUGCAAACUGUUAUAUUUUGUCAUUAAGCGAGUCGUCCAAGUAAACGCACGUAUGGACUUGCAAAUUGUUAAACGUCGCUGUACUUGAACCGUAAACAAAGGGUGUGUUUGGUUGGAGGAUUAAAAGUGGGGAUUAGACACUUUUUUUUUUUUUUAAAUUUUAUCCUUAUCUCAUGUUUGGUGCUGUCAAGGGUAUUAGGAUUUAGUUAUCUUGAACUCACAAGCUAAUCUUAAUUUUGUAAAGGAAAUUAUCCCAAGAGGGGUCAUGGGAUUAGUUAGUAUUGGAUUAUAUUGAUAACUCAAUUAAACAUAAUAAUUUAUAAAUAUUAAAAUUAUAGUAAUAUGUGAUAAAUGUAAUAAAAAAAUAUUGAUUUUAAUAAUGUAAAUAAUAAAUUAUACUAAAAAUCAUUAUUAAUUUCACAUUAAAUUAAAAUUCUAUUUUACUUUAUUUAAUUAUUAAAUAUUUUUUAUAAUUCCAAAUUUACGUUAUAAAUUAAUUAUUAAAUUAGUAUUCAAAAAGAUAAAUUUUUAUAAAAUAAUAGAUUAUUGAAUAAAUAUCAUAUAAAUAUCAUAUACAUAUUUAACAAAAUAAUAAUUAUUUAAAUUAUGAUUUCUAUUUCUUUAACGUCAUUGAGGUUGAUUUGUAUAAUUAAUAAUACAAAAUUUUAGUUUAUAAUAAUAUUAAUAAUAAUAAUAACUUGUAAAUUGUAAUAUUAUAAUGUAAAACAUGAUUAUUUAUAGUCCAAUCUAAUAUUGUACCAAACACAAUAUAGUAUUAUAUAUAAUCCACUAUUAUUCAAUCCAAUUCAAUUUUAUCCAAUUUAAUCUAAUCUAAUUCAAUCAAAUCCGGCGGACCAAACCAGCCCAAAGGGUUUAUGGCCCUUUACUUACCAAACAGAAAAAGAUGCUCAACAUUGACAUCUUUGACCCAAUCCAAAUCUAAUCCAUACAUCUGCGGAUCAGAUGCAGAUUUAACCUAAUCCAUAUCCAAUCCACCAUUUUACGGAUUGGUUUGUAGACUGAAAAAUAUUAUAAGAAUAAUUUAUUAAUUGUUCAGACUUAAUUUAUAAUUCUAUAAGAUAAUGUGAACUUAUUAUAACUAUCUUAUCAAAAUGAGGUGGGAUUGCAAGAAUAAUGAGUAGAAAUAUCCCCAACCGAUAAAAUAAAAAGAAUUUUACAGCUAUACAAAUGCAAAUAUGUAGAACGUACCUUGUAGGUUGUUAUAAGCUAGAUUCAGAUACAAAAGAUUGCUAAAAUUUCCUAUCGCUGAAGGAAUAUUUCCAUCAAUGACGUUGUACGUUGCGUGUAACGCCUUCAGCCUCGAUUAAUUGAAGAGAGAAUUUGGGAUUGGACCCGUGAAACUGUUAUUACGAAGACUCAACACUUGUAAUUUGGAUAAGACGCCAAUCCAUGUUGCAAUGCUCCCACUCAAUUUAUUGAAAGUGAAACUAAUGAAUAUGAGUCGGCGUAAUUGCCCCAAUUCAUUAGGUAGAUUGCCAAGAAAAUUGUUCAGGCUAACAUCAAGAGAUUCAAAUGAAUUUUUGAUGGCGCGAACCGCAAGAAAUGCCAAUCCAGGUACACAUUGGAUAAGAUAUAGACCAAUUAUUUGUCAGGAUACUUCGAUAAUCAACGACACGGGCUUUGCAUGCAAGAAGAGCCGAUUGAUCGGUUGUUAAGAUGCAAUAGUGAGUAGUGAAAGUGGUUUGAGGUGGAGAUGCACCGGGAUCUACGGCCAUCCUGAGUUCAGCCAGAAGCAUAAUACUUGGACUCUCAUGAAAAGGUUAGCCAGCCUAUUUUCCUAUCCUUGGUGCUGUUUUGGUGAUUUUCAAUGAGAUAAUGCAUAUGCAUGAGAAAAACGGGGGCAAUGAGAGAAACCUGAAUAGGGUUGCCGAGUUUAGGGAAGCUGUGCAAAGCUGCAAUUUGCAGGAUAUGGGGUGUAAGGGAUAUCCCUAUACGUGGUCAAACAAAAGAUACAGAGAUCAUUUUAUUGAUGAGAGAUUGGACCGUUUUCUGUGUAGUAAAGAUUGGGGGAUUAAUUUUCAAGAAUCUGUAGGCACAAAUCUAGUGAACUGGUCUUCGGACCACUGCCCAAUCAUUCUAGAUUUCCAUGAGCGAAGCCAAAAUUCGAGACAUGCGGGCAAAUCUCUCCCCCGAGAUUAUUAUGAGGAUAUGUGGAGCUCCCACGAAGGCUGUAGGAGUAUAGUCCAGGAAGAGUGGAGCCGGUAUGGGGCUAGAGCUUGGGAAGCCCCUGUUCAGCAAUUUCAAUGAAUAGCCAAAUCUUCCUUGGCCCAGCUAAAACUUUAGAGCAAAACCGAAUUUCAUGGUAGGCAAAGAAAGUAAGAAAAGCUUAUGCAGAGCCUCCAGGAUGCUAUGAGAGGGAAUUCAAAGCUGGAUGAUGGCCAGGAAAUUAGGAGAUUGGAAAGUCAGAUUAACUCUAUGCUAGUUGAUGAGGAGAUUUACUAGAAACAGCGUUCGAGGGCCGACUGGCUUAGAGAAGGGGAUAAGAACACGAAGUAUUUUCACGCCAAAGCAUCUGCCCGCAAAAGGAAGAACAAGGUGUGGGGGAUUGAGAAUGACCAGGGCAUUUGGUUGAAGGAAAGGGAUGAAAUAGAGGAGGAGAUUUGCAGCCAUUUCCAAAAGCUUUUCACUACUUCCAGCCCGACUCCAAGCCAAAUCCAAGCAACCCUUCAAGGCAUGACAACAAAAGUAACUCCGGAGAUGAAUGUUCAGCUGGAGAAGCCGUUCACCGCUGAAGAUGUUGAGGAAGCCCUUGCCAACAUGUGUCCCACAAAGGCCCCAGGGCCUGAUGGUCUUCCAGCUGCCUUCUUCCAGAAGCAUUGGAAAUCUGUCCGUAACAGAGUGAUCUCAACGUGCCUUAAUGUCCUUAAUGAGCAAGGUAACCCAUCUACCCUCAAUCACACCUUUAUAGCUUUGAUUCCAAAAAUUGCAAAUCCUAGGAAAGUGAGUGAUUAUAGACCUAUCAGCCUCUGUAAUGUUAUUUAUAGAGUUGUAGCUAAGGCCAUUGCAAAUAGAAUGAAGCCGAUCUUUUCCCAAAUCAUCUCCCCUAUGCAAAGUGCAUUCAUCCCCAAUAGGCUCAUUACCGACAAUGUUAUUAUUGGUUAUGAAUGCCUUCAUAAAAUUAGGCAUAGCAAAGGGAAGAAGAACGGACUUGUAGCUUUAAAAUUGGAUAUAAGUAAGGCUUAUGAUAGAGUUGAGUGGCCUUUUUUGGAACAAACUAUGCUAAAGAUGGGGUUUCCUAGUAAUUGGGUAGCUCUGAUAAUGAGAUGUGUUAUUUCCACUUCAUUCUCGGUGCUAAUUAAUGGUGUGCCAAAAGGAAUGAUCCAGCCAAAAAGAGGCUUGCGACAGGGCUGCCCGCUAUCCCCGUACCUUUUUAUCCUUUGUGCAGAGGCUCUCUCCAAUUUGCUGGUUGUGGCAGAACAGAACCAGCUAAUCCAAGGGCUCAAAUUUGCGCGGGAAGUUUCAAUUACGCACUUGCUGUUUGCGGACGAUAGCUUGGUAUUCUCUCGUGCAUCAGUGGCUGAAUGCAGGCAUUUAAAAGAAAUGUUUGAUAAAUAUGCUGCAGCAUCAGGGCAGAUUUUUAAUUUUCAGAAAUCCUCACUGUUCUUCAGUGGAAAAAUUCCAGAGCAUCAACGGGCUGCUAUAAGGGGUAUCUUUAAUCUAAAUGUAGUCUCAAAGCAUGAGAAAUACCUUGGCCUACCAUCAAUGAUUGGGAGAAAGAAGAUGGGGUUCUGUAACGACAUCAAGCUGAAAGUGUUGAACAAGAUUGCAGGAUGGCAGCAUAAAAUGUUGUCUAGUGGGGGGAAGGAAGUUCUGAUCAAAGCGGCAGCCCAAGCAAUUCCGGCGUAUGCAAUGAGUGUUUUCAAGCUCCCAAGAGGCUUUUGUGAUGAUAUUCAGCGAGCUAUAGCGAAGUUCUGGUGGGGCUCGAAAGGGGAUAAGCACGGAAUCCAUUGGCGAAAAUGGGAGAAGCUCAGCCAGGCAAAGAUUAGAGGGGGGCGGGGAUUUCGAGAGUUUUCUUGCUUCAAUCAAGCGCUGGUAGCUAAGCAAGCUUGGAGGUUACUGCAGUACCCAAAUUCGCUGGUCUCCAAAGUCCUUCAAGCAAGAUAUUUCAGGAAUUCCAGCUUUUUAUGUGCAAAGGCAGGAGCCAAUGCCUCGUAUAUUUGGAGAAGCAUCAUGUGGGGUAGGCAGGUGAUUAAGAAGGGUAUGAGAUGGCAGAUAGGUAAUGGCAAGAAGGUAGCAAUUUUCUCGGAUAACUGGCUGCCAAGACCAGAGACCUUCAGACCUAUCUUCCCUCCAUCUUUGCCCGUAAGCUCAGUUGUUGCAGAUUUAAUUAAGGCUGAUAAUCAAUGGGAUGAAAUAAAGCUUCGACAGCACUUCAUGGAUGUAGACACAGCAGAGAUCCUCAAGAUUCCCCUCCCAACUGAGAAAGAAGAAGAUGGAGUGCUUUGGGAUUACGACAAAAGAGGGAACUACUCUGUCAAGAGUGGGUAUCAGCUAGCAUUGAGAUCAAAAUUUCCAGAUUCCACCAGCUGCACAGAGGCUUCCCACAAGUACUGGAGUGCCCUUUGGACACUGGAGUUGCCUGCGAAGCUUAAAAUUUUCAUGUGGAGGGCCUCUAAUAAUCUGCUUCCAUCGGUGGAAAAUCUGUGGAAAAGGAAGGUAGUGGAGGAGCCAACUUGUAAGCGAUGCAAACUGAGUGUUGAGACUAUCAGCCAUGCUCUCUUGGAGUGUAAGGUAGCGAGAAAAAUUUGGCUCCAAUCCCCCUUUUCAGGCCUUAGAUUAGAAGCCAAUUCUCAGGACAUUUUCAGCACUUUGCAAAAUAUGGCUAAGGAGAUGAGGAAAUCAGAUCUGGAAUUAAUGGUAGCUCUGUGUUGGUCUGCCUGGUAUGCUAGGAACAAAUGUAUCUUCGAUGGCAGGGAGAUUAAUCCUAUUAUAUCAGCUGCUAAAGCGGAGUCUGUUUUGUCAGCUUUUCAGAGAGUUAGGAAGCCCCAGCAAGCUCACAUCUCUAUCUUCAUAAAAGAGAAGCAGCAGGAGUGGCUCCCCCCUCCCCCGAAUGUUUUUAAAGUUAAUGUGGAUGCUGCUCUUAAUUCAAAGAAUCUGAGUGCAGGAGUGGGAACUGUGAUUAGAGACUCUAAUGGAAAGAUAGUUGCGGCUGGGGUAAAUCAGAACCUCCUAAAGGGGUCAGCUAGCUUGGCUGAAGCAGAGGCGGUGCUUUGGGGCCUUCAGCUGGCGAGAAAGGCGGAUGUAUCCUCUUUGAUUAUUGAGUCUGAUUGUUUAGAGGUGGUCCAGCUAGUGAACAACACCAAGGGCAGCAGAUCAGAAAUUUUUUGGACAAUUCUGGCAAUCCAAAACCAGAUGAAGAACUUCCAGAAAGUGGUUGUCAAUCACAUUCCAAGACAUUGUAAUGCUUGUGCCCAUUACCUAGCUAAGAUAGCUUUGGGGAAAAUCUCUCCCUGUAUGUGGCUGGGAAAUAUUCCAGCUGAAUUGUAUGGUAUUAUCAAGGUGUUGUGAUUAAUGAAAGGUUUACUUUCUUUUCAAAAAAAAGAAGAAUGAUAAGCGCAUAUUGGUCUUUUUUUUUAGAUGCGUCCAUCUAAUUGCUAAGUGAAGUUGAUACAAGUUUUAAGUGAAGGAAAUUAGCAUAUGCAUAUACAAGAGGCGUAUGAAUUUUGAUAACAAGAAAAGAAAACAAUAUACAGGAGAGUGGAGGCUUGCAAAUUGUUAUAUUUCAUUAUUUAGCGAGUCGUCCGAGUAAACGCGUAUAGACUUUUAAAUUGUUAUACGCCGCCGUACUUGAACCGUGAAUAAAGGGCUUAUGGCACUUGAGUUACCAAAAAGAAGAAGAUGCUCAACAUUGGCAAGGCCUAUGCAUUCUGUCCAUUUGUUCACGUUUUGCCGAGGCUCAUGGCAACCACAAUAUGUUCUUUUUCUUUCCUCUAAAAAACAAAAAGACGACCUUCACAUUUGGGCUAAUAAUUAUCACUAAACAAUUAAUAAUGCUGAGGGCUAGUGGUAAUGUAGCUUUAAAAUAAUUGUUAUUAGUUGCGCCUUAAAAAUAAAGAAAUAAAGAUAGUUAUACUAUACCCCCACAAUUUAAUAAAAUAAUCAUGUAAAUUUCUAAACUUUUAACAAUAUACACCAAGACCCCUUAUGUUACUUUUUACCAUUUAUUUGGAUGUCACAUGCUUUUUUUUUUUUUUUUUUAAAUUUUUCACUGCAGAAAUUAAAUGCUAAAUUUACUGUUAUUCCCAUAUCAUGUCAUCGCUUGCUUCUACACAUAUUGAUUGUUUUUCCAAAGUUUAAAAUUGAAUUAAAAACAUUCUAAUUAACCUAAAAAUUAAAAAAAAAACUCAUCCAACCAGAUAUAAAUCUUCUAAUUAACCUAAAGAUAAGCUACACCCCCAUAUUAAUUCCAAUUAAAUAAAUCUUCAUUUUUGUCAUGGUUUUGGAUCUCGAGCAGGGUGGAUACAUCCAACCAGAUCCGCCCCAUUGGCAUUCCAAUAUAUUAUGGAAUUGGAAGAGUAUCAAUGACUUAAUUUGUAAUUUUAAAUUUGUAACGUAUAAUUCUAAUUUAAGGAUUCAAAUUAAUUUAUGCGGAUCUAAAAGGGGACUGAUGAUGGGCAUGCAUACAUACAUGCAUACAUAUAUUUACAUAGAGAGAGAGAGAGUGAGGUAAUAUAACAUUCUUCUUGAUGAAGAUUUUUGUGCCAUACGCAUUAAAGAGAGUAUUGUGUCGAUGUUGGAGGCUAGAGGGACAAGUGGUUACAUUGCUUCAGAGGUGUUUAGUAGAAACUUUGGUGAGGCAUCACAUAAUUUAAACUACUAGAUUUAGCGAGAUAUAUAUAUUUUCCACAUUGGAUUUACAAGCAUUUGGAGCAGGAUAAUGAAUUUAAAUUACUCGGAAUUGUAAACAGCGGAAAGUGAAAUUGCUAAGAAGAUGAAUAUUGUUGUUUUGUGGUGUAUACGGACUCGUCCAUCGGAUAGGUCGCCCAUGAACAGAGUGAUAGAAAUGUUAUUGCAAAGAAGCAGACUGACUAGCAGUGACGCUUUGAAUAAAUCCACCAAACAUCUUCUCCUACAAGACCACCAAUAUAUUCUUCCACCAUUCAACGUCGUGAUGUGGGGAUCAGAAUUGAAUUAUAGGAUGCUUGUAAGUUUCCUUUGUGGAACUUGUGAAUUUGUGAUGGCAAAAGUCAAUGAUGCAUGUAACUAGCCGGCCCGUGUAGAGGCCGUUUGACUCAUAAAUAUUUGUCACUUUCACUCUUUUUCAAAACCCAAAAGCACGCUAAAGCUUAAUCUAAAAAGAAUUUUUGAUUUAGUGCUGACAUUUUGGGCUCACCUUUGAGUAAUGUUUUACCACGCAUGCAUUUAUGUCAUUGUGCGGUCAUCCUUUACUUCUAAAGAUCGUAAUCUUUAAGAAAAAAUUACUUCUUUUGAAAGUGAAAGCAGGCCAGCUAUUGGCGUAUUGCAUUGAAGCUGCUAUGUGUAGUAGUCAAUUCUUGGAAAGAACUAGUUUUCUUAAAUUGUAAAUGGUCCCCUUUAUGACUGGGAGAUUUUGAACAAAAUUAAUAUGAUGAAUUCUUAGCAAGUGUUGUUCCUUGAAGUCUCAUCUUUCACAAUGUUUUUGAAAUAAAGAUAUUACCAUCUCUGACUAAAGAUUUACUCUUGAUUUGGACCACCUAAUCUGAACUUGAUGGAUGAUUAUGAUCUUGCCUAAUUUUAUGGAUGUGGUCUUAUCUCACGUAAGUCAGUAAUGAAUUAAUUAAAGUUUACUGUCAAAUUAUGAACUGAAAAACUGCUGCUACUUCAUUAUUCACAAUGCCCAAAUUCAGUGCAGAACUGAUUAUAAGUUUUCCGAAAGUUUUACGCUUUCUUUCCCCCAAAUCCCAAGUACUUCCUGUAAUAUCAUUCCCCUAUAGAUGUCUUCCCCUGAGACAUUUUUAACUUUGGUUCAGGGUAACAAAGCUAUAGCUUUUCCUGUCGUGUGCAACAAGCUAUUAAAUUAGAGUAUUUAUUUCUGUAUUACUACUAGUAGUAAGAGAGGCGAAAUGGAAUCUUGAAUUCAUGUUUAUACAACAGUUUGUUUAUAAAUAAAUGAGUUGAUAACAAGUCAUUUUAAAUAUUUGCAAAAAAAAAAACGGUGAGUGAUGUCUAGUUCUAUUUUCAAUGUUCAGAGUCGAAUUUUGAUUACUGAAAAUUUUAAUUUAUGAAGUUGAACUAAGAAUUUGUUAUAAUAUAUUCCACCUUCCUAUACAGUCAUCUGGAAUAAUAAUAUAUCAAAAACAGUAAUAACUUGAUUUACAGGGUGAGAAAGAAAAGAAAGACGCUACGAGGGAAGCAGAGAUUCAAAGACUUCGCUACUUUGUUGGAGGAACAAUUUCAUAAAUCUCCAGAAUAUUGACAUAAAACACAGAACAUAUCUAGCAUUAAGUAUAUUUAUGUAUGUCCAAAGAUAAAAAUUCGAAGAUUAGAUUUAUCAUUUCAAUUUAUGUUCCGCCCAAAGCAAUGGCUUUUAUUCCACAAGCACAAACAAGAAAGAGUACACAAAGUUAACAAACACACAUGUUGAUGCGAGAUUCUGGUUGUCCUCGUUCUACGACCAGGGUCUCUGCUCGAUCAACUUCACCACGACCAGGAUCUCUCCUCGUAAAGCUUCUUCUCCAGAGGUUCCUGCGCACACAGACAGGUCAGAGUACGCCGGUUUUUUUCCCGGCGCAAACCCUCCAACGCUCAAGUCAGAAAUAGGGGUUCUGGGAAUGUUUGCCACGAAUCUUAUGGCUUCUUUUUAAUCUCAGUUCUCGGAACUUUCUUUUCUUAGUUCUAAUAGCAAAAAGUCUAACCCUUUUACCUUUGCUGGCUACUUUUUUAUAGGCUUCCUCUGAAUCCCGGUCUUCCGUAGUCCACGCCCAUUACUCUUCCCACCCUCGGAUGUGGAUGCCCCAUUGUCGUCAUUGUGGGCGAAUGGAGAUGGACUUCGUGCCUUGAUUCUCGGAUAGGAACGCACGUCUUGCCAACUGUCGUUGACCGGGUCUCCUCGCCUCGACCCCUAGCAGGAAUGGCCUUAUGCCUCUAACAGGAGUUCGUCCUCGUGAAUGGCAUAUUUGUGGACGAGCAGAAUAUUCCUGCUCCUGUUCCCUUGCUACCAGGCUCUUACAGGACAUACCUGUUCGCAGAACUCUGCCACCAAAUAUAUGCUCAUCAUGUCUGGUCUCGUCGAAGUAUUUCCCUCAAACACCGGUCCCCCAGUUUCUGGUGUUGGGUAAUGUAAUGGACCAGCAGUAGAAACUCAACAGUUCUUGCUCGCGUGAGACUUGAAAAGGCUGCCAAGAGUCGUGUCGCAUUUAAUUGCGGAUGCAGUGAUGUGGCAGAAAUCUACCCCUUCGUUUGAAUUUCAAACCUACGGUUGCAAGAUUCUCAGAAUCUGCGUCAUUAAAUGCUGGCAGCCCAAAAGUUUGCUUCUCAGUAAGAAAACCCAAAAUCCUCAAACACGAACUCGUCAUUUUCUCCAUUCCUGUCUCUCCGGCUAAUGAACCUCGGCAUUAAAGCUUUCAUCCCUGUCUCUCUCUGAGCGAGUCCCUGCUUCAGGUAUUUCUUCUAUCUUCACGGUCUCGGUUAGUUGUAGAUAAUUUCUUUUCUCUUUGCUUUGCUUGGGGUAGUAUCUGGUAGUGGUGUUUUGGUUAUAACCUAGGGAAUGUCGAAGGGUAAGGAGAAAGUCGUUGAUAUUGAUGACGACGAACUAGGUUUCUUGCCUAGUCUGCUCACUGAUUCUGCUUUUGGCCCCGGGAUCCCCUUAGAGCCCACUAGGUCUAGUGUUGGGACUAGCGCUAGGAGGAUGUCCCCCCAAACAACCUCCACGAGCGGAAGUAGUGGCGAGGAGGGACCUUCUGGCUCGGAAGACACCCUAAGUGAGGAUCAAUGAGGUGACUCUGGUGAGGGAUCUUCACCGGGAACACUGCGACCAGAAGGGUGUAGUACAGUAGGAGGUAGAGCCUUGUCGCGGGAUUAUGCUAUUGAUUACAUGACCUGCACGACCACAUUCAACGAGCUGGAUGACCUCCGGCUCAGGUAUCAUAUUCCUGGUGAGGUACUCCUUAGGAUCCCAGGAAAGAAAGAUAGUCUUAGCAGGCCUCCUAGGGGAUUUGUCACCUUGUUCUUGGAGAGUUUUAAGUACGGGCUAAGGUGCCCCUUGCAACUCUAUUUUGCUCGCAUACUCCACGGGCUCAAUCUAGCUCCUGGUCAGUUGAACCCCAAUGGGUGGAGGGUGCUCUUUGGUCUGUUCAUAUUGUGGGACAGAUGUUGCCAAAGCGAGCCCACGGUUGAUGAGGUGAAGCACCUGUACCAGCUAAGGAGUAGCCCCAAAGAUGCCGGCUGGUACUACUUCCAAUCUAGUACCAAGAGUAGGAAACCCAUAACUGAUCUUCCAACUGGUGGUGGUGGGACUUGGAAGAGGAAAUUCUUUUUUGCUGGGGGUCCUUGAGGUCAAGUUGCACAAAUAGACGGGAAGGAUUGUCGCGUCCCACCCCGUUUCACGGUCCCAGGUUGCCUGCUCACUUUAGAUGUCUUGUAUCCAUAAUUGUUCUUACUUUAUUGGUUUGUCUCUAACCAAGUGUCUGUUUGUGUUGUAGUUUCUUGGGGUGUUCAUUUUCCGCUCAAACCUGAUCAGCUCAAACGGGUCGAGGCUGUACUAGCCAACUCCUGCCCGAGCCGAGAACUGAUAACUAUUUAUAACUUCCUCGAGUCUCGCUUGGUACUCCCUGGCCAUAAGAUGGAGGACGCUGUGAUUGGGGCUCUGAACAGGAAACGUUCUCGACCUCAAAACACGAAGAGGGACCAGAACAAGGACGCCCCUAGGGCAAAGCGGACCAACAUCGUGCAGCAAGUCUCUCCCUUGAAGACUUUACCUCCUGCUCCUGCCAAAGUCAGCGAAACUAGUGGAGCAGCCACAGAUCCUGCUUCCUCUUCUCCUCCUGUCGGGCCUCGAUCUCGCUUUCCUGACAGCCGAGCAGAACACUUGGUCCCCUAUCUCAAUGAGUUAUCUAAACUCGUGAGCAAGAAGGACCUGGAGGACUUUAAUGGCUGCACCCUGGGCGAGCUGGUAGGAGCCAUGCAGUAUAGUGCUUUCCAUCUCAGCUGCAUGACCACCUAUUAUAAGGCUAAGGUUGGCCGUUAUGACAGGAAGAUGAAGGAGGACAUUCAAUCAGCGAUGACCAGAGCUGACGCCGCCGAGAAGAAAGCAGGAGAGCUAAAUGUCGAGAACCUGAAGCUGAUAGAGCAAGAAUCUCUUGCUCAAGCAAAAGCCAUUACCCUCGAGGAGGAGCUGACCAAGGUCAAGGAGGAUCUUCAAAGGCAGAAGGCAAUGUAUGAGGCUCAGCUCGAAUCUCUCCGCGAUUCCCAUCGAGCUCAGGUCGAGAACUUGGAGAAGGAGGCCGACAACCAGUACGACCAGGGACUUCGGCAUUCCUAUCGUUGCAUCAUGGCCGUCCUCGGGAAGCAGCAUCCUGAUCUAAAGAUGGACGACCUUGCAGCUGGUGUCGCCCAACAUAUGGACGAGGAGGCUGCAAAGGAGGAUGCCGAAGGGGUAGACGCAAUCGUGAUUGAGGAGGAAAACUCUCCUCCUCAUGUAGACCCUGCUGACGUUGGCGAGGCGAGCACCCCCCCGGACGCAACUGGUGAUACCCCCCCUGCACCUGAGGAGGUCCAGCCAACCGAUGCUGCUCGGCAUACUGAUCCGCCAUCUUCUUGAACUUAUCUUGUGCUGUAAUUGCUUUUUGAAUAUUCUAUAUAACAGCUUUGUAAACUUUUAAGAGCUUAAUAAGAUUGUUCUUAUUUGCUUCCUCGCAUUGGUAUUUUAAUUUAUUUAUCUAUUUGGCUUCUGUCCUCGUCACAGAGGAGGCCUUGAAGUUUGACGAGCCUUUGCCUGUCUUGGAUAAUUUCUUCAAUGAUUGGGAUUCUGCUCGCCUUCGCGUGGUCGAGCAGAUCCUGGCACGCUUGGCUUUUGGUCUCGCCAUAAACAGGCUUUGAGACUCGACGAGCCUUUGCAUGCCUUAGUUUCUUCAAGGAUUGGGAUUCUGCUCGCCUUCGUGUGGUCGAGCAGAUCCUGGCACGCUUGGCUUCUGGUCUCGCCAUAAACAGGCUUUGAGACUUGACGAGCCUUUGCAUGCCUUAGUUUCUUCAAGGAUUGGGAUUCUGCUCGCCUUCGCGUGGUCGAACAGAUCCUGGCACGCUUGGCUUCUGGUCUCGCCAUAAACAGGCUUUGAGACUCGACGAGCCUUUGCAUGCCUUAGUUUCUUCAAGGAUUGGGAUUCUGCUCGCCUUCGCGUGGUCGAGCAGAUCCUGGCACGCUUGGCUUCUGGUCUCGCCAUAAACAGGCUUUGAGACUUGACGAGCCUUUGCAUGCCUUAGUUUCUUCAAGGAUUGGGAUUCUGCUCGCCUUCGCGUGGUCGAGCAGAUCCUGGCACGCUUGGCUUCUGGUCUCGCCAUAAACAGGCUUUGAGACUUGACGAGCGUUUACAUGCCUUCAAUUCUUCAAGGAUUGGGAUUCUGCUCGCCUUCGCAUGGUCGAGCAGAUCUUGGCACGCUUGGCUUCUGGUCUCGCCAUAAACAGGCUUUGAGACUUGACGAGCCUUUGCAUGCCUUCAAUUCUUCAAGGAUUGGGAUUCUGCUCACCUUCGCGUGGUCGAGCAGAUCCUGGCACGCUUGGCUUCUGGUCUCGCCAUAAACAGGCUUUGAGACUUGACGAGCCUUUGCAUGCCUUCAAUUCUUCAAGGAUUGGGAUUCUGCUCGCCUUCGCGUGGUCGAGCAGAUCCUGGCACGCUUGGCUUCUGGUCCCGCCAUAAACAAGCUUUGAGACUUGGUGAGCCUUUGCAUGCCUUUGAUAAUUUCUGGAAAGCUUAGGAUUCUGCUCACCUUCUCGUGGUCGAGCAGAUCCUGGCACGCUUGGCUUCUGGUCUCGCCAUAAACAGGCUUUGAGACUUGGUAAGCCUUUGCAUGCCUUUGAUAAUUUCUUGAACAGUGUAGUUGAUUCAAACUCCUCAUUGAUUCAUUUAUUAUUGAAUUCGGCUUACAUGAGGUUGCUUUGAAAUAAGAAAUAAAAAAAUAGAAAACAACAGACAUGAACAGAAAAAAAACUUUAAAACAUGAGUAAGUCUUACUAGAAAUAUUUCCUGAGGUGUGCCGCGCUCUAGGGGCGUUUCACCUCGUGGCCCUCCGUGCGAACCAACUUGUAAACUCUGGGUCCAACUAGCUGCCAUUCCUGGCUUCCACUCGGGUAUCAAAGGAUGUUAUCUGCAUUGCUUCCUUUGUUGCCGAGGAGUAACAGCUUCGUGCGAUUCUCUGGUCUCCUCGUACCACUCCAACUACCCCAUUCACCCGGUACUUGAGAGCCAGAUAAUGGUUGGACAGCACCGCUUUGCUCAUCCUCAGAAAUGGCCGGCCUAGGAUCAUCUGAUAAGGACCUUCCUCAUCCACUACCACAAAGUCCAGUAUCAUUGUCCUUUCUGUCGGGGAGCUCCCAAUCGUGAUAAGUAGCUCGACCACGCCCAGAGGGACCAACUUUCCUCCUCCAAACCCCUUCAAGGAGGUAUUGGUGUAAUCCAACUUCAGGUCUGCUAUUCCCAUUUCCUCCAGGGUUGACUUAAACAACACAUCAACUGAGCUCCCUGUGUCAACCAGUAUCCUGUCAAACUUCUUGCUGGCAACAGUGGCCUUGAUGACCAAAGCAUCCUCGUGGGGGUAUAGAAUCCCUUCUUCAUCCUCAUCUGUCCACAUGAUUGGCACUUGCCUGACUCUUGCACAUUUGGCUGCUGGGGUGUUGAAGAAUACAUCUUUGCUGGUCAUGGCGUAUCUAGCGUAAUUCUUCCUCGACCUGUUGGAAUCUCCGGCCAAUGUUGGGCCCCCAGCUAUCACCCUUAGUGCAGGAUGCUCGCGCCUCAGGUUUCUAUCACUCUGCUCCCCUUCAUAUGUCGAGGCCACCAUCGGGAAAGUCCCAUCUACAAACUCGUCCAGGUACCGAUUUCUCACCAAAUCUUCAACCUGGGUCUUGAGAUCUCUGCAUUCUGCGGUGGUAUGGCCAUGAGUGCCAUGGAACUUACAAUGGCGUCCCCUAUCCCUCCUGCCGGGUAGCUUUGUUAUUGGGGCAGGGAGGUACAGCAGUCCUCGGUCCUUUAUGGCCUCGUAUACUUCAUCUAGGGACAUCUUCAAGGACGUGUAUCGCCCAUACUCCUGGUUCUGGUCGAUCAGGUGCACGGCCCUUUCUCUAUUUGCUCCGUUCUGAGUUGGAGGCGAUGACAGCAUUUCUGGUCUGCUCCCUCUACUACCGUGGGAGUGUUGAUGAAGACCACCAUAUGUCGAAUCAUGCCUUCUCCAAGGCUCCCUAGCUGGGGAACGAGGAGGGUGCGCCCUGCUGCGCUGAUACUGUGGUGGCCUCUGAUGAGGCUGGUGAGCUGUUACCCGACCUCCUGCUCCACUACCUGAGGCCUGGAGGUCCCUCCUCCUGAUCGGCCAAUUUCCCAGUAAUGCCCUCUUUUCUUUCUUUUCCAACCCCUCCAGCUGGUCUGUCUUAAUCCGAGCUGCCUUUUCUUCCUCGAUCUCUAUGUCUCUUUUAGCUUGCUCGUAUGCGGCUGCAUACGUCUGAAUAGCUGGGCUUCUCAAGUUGUACCACAGCCUUCCUAUCUUCACUCCCUCUUUCAAUCCCCUUAGUGCCUGAGGAUGGUCGAAGGCUCCCAAAUCGAGGACAGCACGAUGAAACCUCUUGAUGAAUUCCCGAAGAGUUUCUUGUUCCCCUUGCUUCAUGCUUUUCAACUCCAUCAUGUCAUCUUCUAGUGCCAUUGCCCCACGAAACUGCUCUGCAAACUCCUGGCACAUCUGCUCGAAGGUUUUAAUGCUCCUCCCCCGAGGAAGUUUUCUGUACCACUCUCGUGCACGUCCCUCAAGGGAUAGUGGGAACACCCUGCCUGCACCUUUGGGAUUGAGAUAAUCCUUGUACCCCAAUUAUGUCGUUGAAGCGCUCUAUGUGCACCAGCGGAUCUGUUCGUCCCGAAUAUCUAAGGUCUGGGAGGCGGAAAUCUCUCGGAAUAACUGCCCUCAUGAUCUCUGCUGCGAGCGGUGAUUCUCCAUCUAGCAUUAUCCUCCAACCAGGAGCUCUGCUCCUUCCUUGCAUGUCGUCAAUUAUCUGCGCUAGUCUGCGCACUUCCUCCUCCAGCUGCACUGCACGACCAGGGUCACGUGCUGCAACUUGAUCCCGCUCUUGCUCUACAUCAAGCAAGUGUUGCCUCAACUCUGUUUCCUCUGCAUUUGCCACCCCGUCGUCCUCGUCAAAAAUCUGUCUUGCCGGGAAUUGCUCUUCCUCUCUACGGAAUUCUCCCCGCAGAGGUAUGUUACCUCUCUCACCACCAAAUCUCCCGGUGGUUUGACUUCUCCUCGUACUAUCGGGACCUAGUGCCACUCCACCAACUCUCAUCCUUUCCUCCUGGGUUACCCUUCGUUCACUCCGCAACUCAUGCAGGAUGGUUGUCAGGGUCUCCAUCUGCUUUUCCAUUCGUUCCAUUCGGUCGAACAUGGCUUUUUCCCGUGCUUCACUGGCUAUCUCCCUCAGAGUCACGGAAUCGUUAAGCCUCAUAUCACCCCCUUGUGCACUACUUCCUCCUGUCUCCAUUGCUUUUCACUUGCUUCACUCCUCUUCUUGCUAUCAACAGAAGCUUUUUGAUCAGCUCCCCACAGACGGCGCCAAAAUAUUGAUGCGAGAUUCUGGUUGUCCUCGUUCUACGACCAGGGUCUCUGCUCGAUCAACUUCACCACGACCAGGAUCUCUCCUCGUAAAGCUUCUUCUCCAGAGGUUCCUGCGCACACAGACAGGUCAGAGUACGCCGGUUGUUUUCCCGGCGCAAACCCUCCGACGCUCAAGUCAGAAAUAGGGGUUCUGGGAAUGUUUGCCACUAAUCUUAUGGCUUCUUUUUAAUCUCAGUUCUCGGAACUUUCUUUUCUUAGUUCUAAUAGCAAAAAGUCUAACCCUUUUACCUUCGCUGGCUACCUUUUUAUAGGCUUCCUUUGAAUCCCGGUCUUCCGUAGUCCACGCCCAUUAGUCUUCCCACCCUCGGAUGUGGAUGCCCCAUUGUCGUCAUUGUGGGCGAAUGGAGAUGGACUUCGUGCCUUGAUUCUCGGAUAGGAACGCACGUCUUGCCAACUGUCGUUGACCGGGUCUCCUCGCCUCGACCCCUAGCAGGAAUGGCCUUAUGCCUCUAACAGGAGUUCGUCCUCGUGAAUGGCAUAUUUGUGGACGAGCAGAAUAUUCCUGCUCCUGUUCCCUUGCUACCAGGCUCUUACAGGACAUACCUGUUCGCAGAACUCUGCCACCAAAUAUAUGCUCAUCAUGUCUGGUCUCGUCGAAGUAUUUCCCUCAAACAACACAUAGCAAACAUGACAUUAACUACUUGCAGCAGCAUCAUCCAGAAACUUCACUAUAAUCUUCUUGAGCUUUUCAGCGGCAUCUUUCGUAGAUGCCCUUUGUUUUGGUGACUCCAUGCAAAAAUCCAAUGCCGAAUGCAUGAUGCUUAAUAAACAAUUCAUUUUAUUAGUACAUUGGAUAUAAUCGAAGGCAGAGUAUAUUUCAGGACAAGUAGAGUAGCAUUCUUGGAUCCUUUGCUAUUAUCUUCUUUGCAAGGUGGGACUUGAGGUCCUGGUGGACAACAUACUGCAUAAUUCUAAAAAAAUUAUUGAGCUGAAAUGUUUUUAAAAGGUCUUUUGAUAGAAACUCCCCCUUCUAGCCUAUUGUGAGACACAUUAAGUUGUUUGAGAUAUAAGAGUGCCUCUAUUGACUUUGGAAUUUCUCCAGAGAAAUUGUUGCUUGGGAGAUCCAAAGAUUCCAACCUUAUCAAACUACCAAAUGAUUUGGGGAUUAGACCAUAAAAUUGGUUUCUAGCCAAGCUAGAUCUUUGGGGCCACCAAUAUUUACUGGCAUAUCACCUGAUAAUUGAUUUCUUGAUAAAUCUAACUCUAUUAAGACCCUUAAGUUUUGUAUAUCACUUGAUAAUUGUUUGUAUUGGGCCUUCUAUUUUCAUUAUAGAAUAAAUUAACUAUUAAUUUUCAUGAGAAAAAUACUUAUUUCCAUAAAAUUAUUCAAGCUUUUAAAAAGAUUUAGAAUUAAAAAUCAAACUUUGUACUGUAGAAAAUUUGCCGGUACGUUCAAUUAGUACUUUGUUUGAGGAAAUAAGAUUAGAAUAGGCUAUAGGUACGGUAGUUAUGCGGUACCUGUUUAAUAACCGUAGUAUAGUAAAUGUUUGACUUUUUUAUUAGAAAUAUAUCAUUAACAAUUUUGUUCGCUAAUUGAAUAGAGAAAGAAAGGGGGGGUGGGGGGGGGGGGAGGGCAAAAAGGUUAACACAUUUCGAAACUACAAACGAUUGCCUUUUCCUAUUAAUAAUGUUUGCGGAUUCUAACAAUUGAAUCUCAAGGUCAUUACAUAGUGAAUUUUAUAGUUAAUAAAAUUAAUAUUCCACAUACUAUCUACUCAAUUAAUGUCACAUUUUUUGAAACUUGAAUGAUCUAUUUGCUACAAUUAGGAGCCAACGUCGUAAUGAAUGUUAAAUUAUGCUGUUUGUUUUGAUUUACUUUUCUAUCUUAGCUCCAAGUGAUUAGCGGAAUGCUGGUCUUGUGAGUAUAAAAUGAACUCCUUAAGUCAAAUUCCUUCUGGGGUGUUGGAGAAAGAACUAAAUACAUGUAAUCUUGCUUUCGGAUAUGGAUUAUCUGAUGGAUGUUGUAUUUUCUAGGUAUUGAGGAGAUUCCUCAUUAUUGAAAAAUUACGUUCCCGAGCAUCAAAAGAUGAUCCCAUAGAAUUGCGUUCUCCUGUGACAAAAGAGGAGCUUGUAGCUGAGGUAUCGAUUUUUAUCUUUCUUGAUUGUUCUUUAUAGUUGUUUCUCAUCAAAAUAGAAAAAGCAGUUUGUUCUGAGUGACCUGUGCGGUCUACUAUCAAUCACUGCCAUUUCUAUCAUUUAGUACUAUUGACUGUGUGUAUAGAUAUUUUGUUUUUGCCAUGUAAUUUCAUGUUUGAUACAUUUCUAAUACAUUGCAUAGCGUUCAUGAACGAGAAUGAUAAACUAACUUUCAGGUGUGUUUAAGUAGAUGAAAAAACUUGGUACAAUUUAGAAGGAUUCACUAAUUUUCCAAUUUGUUUGUAUGGAGAAAUUGAAUAGUUAAUUGAUUAGAGGAUUGCAAAGUGGGUAGGUCCAGCUGGGCAUUGUCAAUAUUAACGAUCGAUGUUUUGAGAAGGUCUGGAGCUGACAUCACGGUUGCGUCUGUGGAGAAACAACUUCGUGUCGACGCGUGUCACGGUGUCAAGAUUGUCGCUGAUGCUCUCGUGUCUGACUGCCGCGACGCCGUUUUUGAUCUUAUAGCUCUUCCCGUAUGUAUUGCAGCUCACCUCAGCUCAUGCCAAUUUAUGUGAUGUUUGUAUAAUUAUAGAUGAUUAUUGCUGAUACUGAAUGUUAAGCUAAAUAAUUCGUUCUUAAGUCAUCUUCAUUUAAUUUUCGAUUGAAAAUGAAAAAAAUAAUAAUUGUAAGCAAAGAAAAAUAUCGAAAAUGUUUAUUUUGUUUUAAUUUUAUUUUUUAAUUUUUUGGGAUUUCCUUAUUGUGGCUGUUAUUAUUCAUUAUAUGGUCCUAGUUAAAUAUUUCAAGUUGUUGUAGUUAGUGAAUUUCUUUUCGAUAUUUAUUCUGGCAUGUAUAUUUUUUCUUUUCAAUUUCUUUUGUUGCUGAUUCUUUGAUUAUGUUAUAUCCUUUUUUGUUUCCCUUGUAGGGUGGCGUGCCUGGUGCUACCAAUCUGAAAGAAUCUGAAGUAUUAGAAAGCAUUGUGAAGAAGCAGGCUUCAGAUGGGCGUCUUAAUGCUGUUAUCUGUGCUUCACCUGCUGAGGCAUUAGGGUCUAGGGGUCUGUUGAAGGGAUUGAAGGUAAGAAUUAGAUAAACCUUUUUGAUGUUCUGUGGUCUUUUGGGAAUUGCACUGAUAUUUUUGUUAUAGUUCAGUUUUCUUCUCGCUGAUGAUUGUUAAGUUCUAAUUUAUGUAGUUGUUCAUUUUUCGUAGGCUACUUGUUAUCCGUCAUUUAUGGAGCAAUUAGCUCCUGCUUGUGCAACAACUGUUGAAUCAAGAGUACCACAGGAUGGUAAAGUUGUUACGAGUCGUGGACCCUGCACUACUAUGGAGUUUGCUGUUGCACUUGUUGAGCAGUUGUAUGGGAAAGAGAGAGCUGAUGAGGUUUCUGGGCCACUGGUAGUAACUUUUAUAGAUAAUGUUGUUUAAAAAAAUUGUGAGUUAUAUAAUUUGUUGAAAUUCAUUCUAAUAGGUUCAUCUGGUAUGUCAAAUUGGAAGGUUCAGAUGCUAAUGUAGUCCAAAAAAUUAGUUCAGGGGAAAAGUAUGACUUUUUGCAUUAGAGAUUUAUUAGAUGAAGUUGUAUACCUACUGGCCCAUCUUAAUAUGGUGAAAACGAUGUAAAAUCGGGAGAGGGGGUUCGGGGGAGAGGGGAAGCCCUCUCCAACCGCAAGGCCGUUAUUCUGACAUGAAUAGAGUAAGGCCUUUACUUUUAUAAAGAAAGGUCCCUGUUUUGCACGUCUCCACUGAUCACAUUCUUUUUAAUGUAAGUUCUUUCUCUUGGUAUUUGUCUUUGAUUUUUCUCUUCCUCAUGCUGUCGUCUGUCAAAAGAUUUGGCUGCAGCAUCUAGAAGUUUUGAAGAAGCAAAAUGGGUCACACGGCUUUGAAGUUCUAGAUGCCGUAAUGUUUGGUAAAAGUAAAAAAAAAUUCAAAGCUCAAAAAUUCAAAGUUCGAAAAACUGAAAUUUUUGAGCUGUAUGGCUUGUAAUUUUAUAGCCACUUUUUUGACUUUUAAGGAAAAGUUUUACCUAUAAAUACAAGCUCUCAAUUUAGAGCUUGCAUCCAAUUUUGUAAAGAGAGUCGAGAGCUGUGAAAAGCAAUUCUUGCAGAGCAGAGAGUUUGUAGAGCUUAAAUAAUAAAAGCUGUUGUUUUAAUGAUUUGAGAGUUUGGAUGUAUUGGGGUUUUGGGAAGUGAGCUAAAAUACUACAAUACUUGUAACUCCUUUUCACUAGUAAAAUAUUUUUCUUCUAUCUUCACCCAUGGACGUAGGUUAAAAGCCGAACCACGUAAUUUCCUGGUGUCCUCUUUGUGCUUCUUCUUGAUUUUUUUUUCCCAAUUUUACUUUAGUUGCGGCCCUGCUUCACCCGCCAAUUUCCUAACAGCGGUAUCAGAGCUAUUAGUUGUAUUAUUUGGAGUCGGGUACUAUUCACAUACGGUACUGUUCACAUAUACGGUACUAUUCAUGUAUACGUUACUAUUCACGUGAAACGGUGGGAGCAAUUCUAGUAUUGGCGAUGCAAAGCAGGGGAAUAGUGUGUGUGAGUGGAGUAAUUGUGUGGUUUUGGACAUGUGUAAGAAAGUUCUGUCACAAAGGCGAUAAGAGCCUAAGGAGUUAGGAUUUUAAGUGGGACUAUUGUGACCCCUCCAGUCUUUCCUGGGAACUUUCUUGGUGUGCUCUCACACAUACUCACAACUAUUCAAGCUGGUACACUAGUUUUGUACAAUAUUUAUCAACAAAAUGGUGGCAAAGUAUGAAAUUGAGAAGUUUAACGGAAAUAAUUUUUCGUUGUGGAAAAUGAAGAUGAAAGUUGUAUUGAAGAAAAAUAAUUGAUUGGCAGCAAUUAGAGAAAGGCCCAUGGAGAUAACUGAUGACAAGUGGAACAAGAUAUAUGGCAACGCCAUUUUUGAUCUACACUUGGCACUUACGGAUGAAGUAUUAUUCAGUGUGGCAGAGAAAACUACAGCGAAGGAAAUAUGGGAUACUCUCACAAAAUUGUACGAGACCAGGUCACUACACAACAAAAUCUUCUUAAAGAGGAAGCUCUAUACUCUUCGAAUGACGGAAUCUACAAUGGUGACCGACCACAUCAAUACCUUGAAGACUCUAUUUUCACAACUCACAACGUUAGGUCAUAAUAUAGAGGAAAAUGAACAUGCAGAGCUUCUACUUCAAAGUCUACCAGAUUCGUAUAAUCAACUCAUCAUCAACCUGACGAAUAAUAAUCCAGCGGACAGUUUGGUUUUCGACGAUGUUGCAGCCUCCGUAUUAAAUGAGGAGAGCAGGCGGAAAAAUAAGAAAAAUAGACAAGCAAGUUUGCAGCAAGCGGAGGCGUUAUCGGCGACGAGAGGGAGAUCAACGGAACGUGGCUGGCCCCAGUGGGAGUCACAAUCGUGGUAGAUCAAAAUCCAGAAGUAAGAAGAAUGUUAAAUGCUACAAUUGUGGUAAGAAAGGGCACGUCAAGAAAGAGUGUUAGAGUAACCAGAAGAGAAAAGAUGGCAAAAAACCUGAGUCAUCAAAUGCUCAGGGGUGUGUAGCAAGUACCUCGGAUGAUGACGAAAUUCUCUACAGCGAGGCAACAACUGUUUCAGAAGGUAGAAAAUGACUAUAUGAUGUCUGGCUUAUAGACUCAGGAGCUACCUGACACAUGACCUAUCGUAGAGAAUGGUUCCACACAUAUGAACAUAUCUCAGGAGAAUAUGCAUAUAUAGGUAAUGAUCAUGCCUUGGAGAUCGUUAGUAUUGGUACUAUCAAAAUAAAAAUAUUUGAUGGUACAAUUCGCACAAUUGAGGAGGUACAACAUAUCAGCGGCCUGAAGAAAAAUCUAUUGUCUUUGGGACAAAUGGAUAGUCAUAGGUACAAAACUCAUGUGGAGAAUGGAAUUAUGUAGAUCGUUAAAGGCGCGCUUGUAUUGAUGAAGGCAGAAAAGAUCAGUGCUAAUUUAUUCAUGCUUAAAGGAGAAACACUACAGGAGGCUGAUGUAUGUGUCGCGUCAAAUGGAGAAGAGUCAACGAUGAUGUGGCAUCUCAAACUUGGCCACAUGUCAGAACAAGGCUAGAAGAUUCUCUCUGAGUGAAAAUUGCUUCCAGGGUUCAAAUCGGUAAGUUUACCAUUUUGCGAGCAUUGUGUUAUAAGUAAGCAACAUAGAUUAAAGUUCAGUAGAUCUAUUACUAGAAGUAAAUGCAUUCUAGAAUUGAUUCAUUCUGAUGUUUAGGAAUCGCCGGAUAUGUCCAUGGGAGGUGCAAAGUACAUGGUGACUUUCAUUGAUGAUUAUUGCAGGAGAUGUUGGGUGUAUUCAAUUAAGAAAAAGUCAGAUGUAUUUCCAGUGUUUAAAGAAUACAAAGCGCGGGUGGAACUUGAAUUUGGUAAAAGGAUCGAGUGCUUGGGGACAAAUAAUGGUGGAGAGUAUACAGACGGCGAGUUUCUUGCUUUCUGUAAGCAAAAAGGUAUUUAGAGGUAGUUAAUGGUAGCAUACACUCCUCAACAAAACGGAGUGGCGAAGCGAAUGAACAUAACUCUUACAAAAAGAAUAAUAGCUAUGUUGAGGACUGCUGGUCUACCCAAUUCAUUCUGGGCAGAAGCAGCCAAAACUGCCUGUUAUAUCGUAAAUCGAUUGCCAUCUACAACAAUUGGGCUGAAGACAGCGAUGGAGAUAUGGACUGGAAAGCUAGCUGAUUACUCAUACCUACAUGCAUUUGGAUGUCCUGUGUACGUGAUGUACAAUGCCCAAGAAAGAAUAAAGCUUGAUCUAAAAUCUAGAAGAUGUAUCUUCUUGGGAUAUACUGAUGGAGUAAAGGGGUAUCGUCUGUAGGACCCCACUGCCCACAAGAUCGUCAUCAGCAGAGAUGUUAUUUUUUGUAGAAGAUCAACUACAAAGGAAAGAUAGAGAUGAUGACACUGUAAAAGAAAAGUCAGAGACUGUGCCAGUAUAUGUGGAAAAUAAUCCAGAAGAUUCAGAUUCUUCUGAAGCAACACCAGAGCAUGAAGAAUAAGAAUCAGUCGAGUUCGAGGCUCCAGAAGUUCGUCGGUUAACUCGUGAAAGACGACCGCCAACGUGACACUCGGAGUAUGUCACAGAGAUCAACGUUGCAUACUGUUUUCUAACAGAGGAUGGAGAGCCUUCAACUUUCCAUAAAUCUUUAAACAGCUCAGAUGUUACUUUAUGGAUGACAACAAUGCAGGAAGCAAUUGAGGCUCUACAUAAGAACAAGACAUUGGAGCUUGUACCACUACUACGUGGAAGAAAAGAUAUUGGAAACAAAUAGAUCUACAAGAUCAAAUGUGAUGGUAAUGACCAAGUGGAACGGUAUCAUGCAAGAUUGGUGGUGAAAUGAUAUGCUCAGAAAGAAGGUAUUGACUUCAACGGAAUAUUUUCUCUGGUGGUUUGACUCACAACAGUCAGAAUAGUCUUGGUAAUGUGUGCUACAUUUGACUUACAUCUUGAGCAGUUAGAUGUGAAAAUUGCAUUUCUUCAUGGAGAACUUGAAGAAGAAAUUUAUAUGCUCCAACCAGAAGGUUUUGCUGAAAAGGGAAAGGAGAACUUGGUUUGCAGGUUGAACAAAUCUUUAUACGGUCUCAAACAGGCACCGAUGUGUUGGUAUAAGAGAUUUGAUUCCUUCAUCAUAAGCCUCAGAUACAAUAGACUCAGCUCAGACCAAUGUGCAUAUUAUAAAAGGUUUGAAGAUAAUGAUUUCAUUAUUUUGAUAUUGUAUGUGGAUGACAUGUUGGUAGCAGGCCCCAACAAAGAUCGAGUCCAAGAAUUGAAGGUAUAAUUGAUUAGGGAGUUUGAAAUAAAGGACUUGGGACUAGAAAAUAAGAUUCUAGGGAUGCAAAUUCACCGAGACAGAAAUAACAGGAAGAUUUGGCUUUCUCAGAAGAACUACUUGAAGAAAAUUUUGCGACGCUUCAACAUGCAAGAUUGUAAGUCAAUUUCUACCCCACUUCCUGUUAAUUUCAAAUUAUCCUUAAGUAUGUGUCUGAGCAAUGAAGCAGAGAAGGAGGAGAUGUCUCGAGUACCGCAUGCAUCAGCAGUGGGAAGUUUGAUGUUCGCUAUGAUAUGUACUGGAUCGGACAUUGCACAAGCAGUGGGAGCAGUCAGUCGGUACAUGGCAAAUCCUAGUGGAGAGUAUUGGAUAACUGUGAAGAAGAUUCUGAGAUACAUCAGAGGAACCUCAGAUGUUGCAUUAUGUUAUGGAGGAUCAGAGUUUACUGUCAGGGGUUAUGUGGAUUCAGAUUUUGUAGGAGACUUUGAUAAAAGAAAAUCCACUAUUGGCUAUAUGUUUACACUUGCAGGAGAAGCUGUAAGCUGAGUUUUGAAACUGCAGACCGUUGUGGUUUUAUCUACAACAGAAGCAGAAUACAUGGCAGCUACACAAGCUUGGAAGGAAGCUAUCUGGAUACAAAGGUUAUUGGAGGAGUUCGGGCACAAACAAGAGAAAAUUUUUGUGUAUUGUGACAGUCAGAGUGCCUUGCAUAUUGUAAGAAAUCCAGCAUUUCAUUCAAGGACAAAGCAUGUAGGAGUUCAGUAUCACUUCGUUCAAGAAGUAGUGGAAGACGGAAGUGUGGAUUUACAGAAAAUCCAUACGAAGGAGAACCUAGCAGAUGUUUUGACCAAGCCGAUAAAUACUGAUAAGUUUGUCUGGAGUAGAUUCUCUUGUGGCCUAGCAGAAACGUAGGCAACAUGACAGUGGCGAAGCAGAAACGAUGGUGUGGAGAUUGAUUGAUCCUCAAUCAAAUCUCCAAGUGGGAGAAUGUCAAAAGAUUUGGCUGCAACAUCUAGAAGCUGCAUCUAGAAGUUUUGAAGAAGCAAAAUGGGUGGCACAUGACUUUGAAGUUCUAGAUGCUGUAAUGUUUAGUAAAAGAAAAAGAAAAAAAUUCAAAGCUAAAAAAUUCAAAGUUUGAAAAUCUAAAAUUUUUGACCUGUAUGGCUUGAAAUUUUAUAGCCACGUUUUUUACUUUUGAGGCAAAGUUUUGCCUAUAAAUACAAGCUCUCAAUUUAGAGCUUGCAUCCAAUUUUGUAAAGAAAGUCGAGAGCUGUUAGAAGCAAUUCUUGCAGAGCAGAGAGUUUGUAGAGCUUAAAUAAUAAAAGCUCUUGUUUUAGUGAUUUGAGAGUUUAGGUGUAUUAGGGUUUUGGGAAGUGAGCUAAAAUACUACAAUACUUGUAACUCUUUUUCACUAGUAAAAUAUUUUCCUUCUGUCUUCGCCCGUAGAAGUAGGCUAAAAGCCGAACCACGUAAUUUCCUGGUGUCCUCUUUGUGCUUGUUCUUUAUUUUUUUUCAAUUUUAUUUUAGCUGCGGCCCUGCUUCACCCACCAAUUUUCUAACAUCGUCUUCACUGUCACCCUGUGCCUAGGUAAUGCGUGCAAAUCAUGGGGUUGAAUACACUAUUGCUGAAUUCAAUCCAAUUCAGUGGACAUUUGACAAUUCUCCCCAGGUGAGAUUGGACUUCUAGUUUCUUGUAUUUGUUUUUCUUCAUCCGAUGUUUUCAGGGAUACCUAUUUGGCAGUAUAUAAAAAUCUGUGAUAUCGUCUAUACAUAUACAUAUACAUCAUUGGCUUCAGUCAUUUGUGAACAUAUUGGUGGUAGUAGAUGUAUUUUUAUGAUAUCUCUAAUAAAAUCCUAAGUUUGAUUAAUUACAAAAGAAGUAUGAGCGGUGCUGGACCGGGGGGGAGGGGGGAGGAGUGGGGUGUCGGUGUGUUGGGGGUGUGCAGUGCAUGAAUAAAAGGAAAUGAUAGGGGGUGAAAGUUUGUGCUACCGACAUGCUGUAAAAUGGGGACACAAUAUUUCAAAUUAGAGAUUGUGAGAUCCUUAAUAUUGCUGACUUGUGCUUAAAAUGGAAUUCUUGAUAACUUCAAAUGUUAAAGUUCUUGGUGAAAUUUUGUACUUUCUUUUCUUUCAGAUUCUUGUGCCUAUUGCAAAUGGUUCAGAGGAGAUGGAAGCUGUUAUGAUAAUUGAUAUUCUGCGACGAGCUAAAGCAAAUGUUGCAGUUGCAUCAGUUGAGGAUAAACUAGAAAUUCUGGCUUCGUCAAAUUAAAUUAGUGGUAGAUGUGCUCAUUGAUGAGGCGGCUAAACUUUCGUAUGAUUUAGUUGUCUUGCCAGUGAGUUGGGGUGCUUACUCUUGCUUCAUAGUCUUUACCACAUUAUUGACUUACUAACUACAAUUUAUCCAUGCACAUUGCACAGGGUGGACUUGGUGGCGCUCAAGCAUUUGCGAAGUCAGAUAAAUUGGUGAAUAUGCUAAAGAAGCAAAAGGAAUCAAAUAGACCUUACGAUGCUAUAUGUGCAUCCCCAGCUUUAGUGUUGGAGCCCCGUGGCUUACUCAAGGUACGACCAUUUCUGCUUAAAUUAUUUACUCAGAUUUGGAUCACCUAAUCUGAACUUGAUGAGAGAUUAUGAUGUUGUAUGAUUUUAUGAAUGUGGUCUUAUCUCAUGUAAGUCAGUGAUGAAUUAAUUGGAGUUUGUUGACAAAUUAGAAGCUGAAAAACUGCUGCUGCUUCGUUAGUUACAUUACCCAAAGAGUUAAAAUUAACAUCACAAAUUUGUUAUCCCAAAUGAUAUGGCAUUUAUUGAGUGAUUGGUAUUAAUUGUAUUAUCUAACCCACCAACAGAUGAAUGCCGCACCAUUUGAGACGAUCUUUUGGGAUAAAAAAUUUGGGAAGUGCAGCAAAUUUUUAUGCCGAUUUUUUUUGGCUUCAUUCAUGUAAACUCCUCCCCCCCCCCCCCCAAAAAAAAAGGAAAACCAGCAAACACCAAAAAAAAAAAAUUCUGAAGUACUUCCCUUAAUAUCAUUCCUGUGUAUUUCUUUUCCCCUCAAGACAUAUUUAACUUUGGUUCAGGGUAAAAAAGCUACAGCUUUUCCUGCCAUGUGCAACAAGCUGUCAGAUCAGAGUGAAAUCGAAAACAGAGUUGUGGUUGAUGGCAACCUCAUCACCAGUAGAGGGCCAGGAACUUCAAUGGAGUUUGCACUGGCAGUUGUGGAGAAGUUUUUUGGCCGCAACAAGGCACUUGAGCUUGCAAAGAUAAUGCUUUUCACUCGCGCCUAACGUUUGUACCGGGACCUGACUACUAUUAAACUAGUGUGUUUAUUUCUGUAUUACUACUGCUUGUAGAGAGGGGAAACGGAAACUUGAAUUCAUGUUUGAAUAUGGAUUCACUGUGUCGGUUUGUACAGCAGUUUGGUUUAUAAAUAAAUGAGUUCAUAGAGUCAUUUCAAAUAUUUGGAAUAAACCUGAGUUUAGUUCUGUUAUCAAUGGUCGGAGUCCAAUUGCGAUCGACUCACUGGGAAUUUUAAUUAUG
This 64719-nucleotide long non-coding RNA is filed under the name Citrus maxima (pomelo). RNAcentral's name for it is "long non-coding RNA (CMAX_LNC003046)". The record is from RNAcentral. Lineage: Eukaryota; Viridiplantae; Streptophyta; Magnoliopsida; Sapindales; Rutaceae.